This is a long non-coding RNA of Pongo pygmaeus (Bornean orangutan), 49515 nucleotides long. RefSeq lists it as uncharacterized. NCBI's taxonomy places the organism in Eukaryota, Metazoa, Chordata, Mammalia, Primates, Hominidae. The transcript is spliced from 2 exons. The record is from RefSeq and is a predicted model, not a curated record.
AGAUCUGUGAUUUUCCUUAAGGAAAACCAAAGUGUGAGUGGUGCCUGGGCACCCAUGCAGACCUGAUGCCCCUCCACAGACAUCUGAAAGCAACACCACAUUGUCACCAGCGCUGAGGAGAUGAUCCACAGAAAAGGAAUGUCCCUUACACAUUGAAAAUGCAUCCCUAUACCAACUGCCUGCAAGUCCUUCCACAGCCAUCCAGCAUCUUGGCAUCCACUUCGGCUUCCUCUGAGGGUUCCUCCCUGCAUCUCCAGCCAGGCCUGAGGGACAGGAUUUCAGACUCCUUGCUGCUGACUUUUAGCCACCUGCAGCCCUUGAUUCUGCCUCUUGCCCUUCAGAUGCCUCUUGCCCUUCAGGUUCCACCCACCUCCUUUCCAGCUGUAACUCAACAUUUGUCACCUCAACCAGAUAUUAAGCUAUUUAAAAGGUAUUUUCCUACAACAGCCUUAUGGAGCUGUAAUUCACAUACUGUAGAUUUCACCCAUUUAGUGUACAGUUCAGUGGGUUUUAGUGUAUUCACAGAAUUGUACAACCAUCACCACAAUCUAAUUUUAGAACUUUCUUUUCAUCACAACAAGAAGUCUCACAACCAUUAGUAUUUAUUCCUUAUUUGUCCCUAUCCCCCUAGCCUUAGGCAACCUAUAAUCUCUUUUUUUGUCUCUGUAGAUUUGCCUAUUCUGGACAUUUGCUGUAAAAGGAAUCAUGGAAUAUAUGAUUUGUUGUGAAUGGGGUUCUUUACAAGGUUCAUUUAUGUUGCAGCAUGUAUCAAUACUUAAUAUCUUUAUUGUUAUAGAAUAUUCCAUUUAUAGAUUUACAGUGUAUUAUUUACCCAUUCAUCAGUUGGUAGACAUUUGGAUUGCUUUCAUUUUUUGGCUUUAAUGAAUGAUACUGCUAUGAACAUUUGUGUACAAGUUUUUGUGUGCACCUAUGUUUUCAUUUCUCUUAGGUAUAUACCUAGGAGUGGAGUAUACCUAGGAGUGCUGGGUUGUGUGAUAACUCUUAUAUUUGUCUUUUUGAGGAACUGCCUGACUAUUCACCACAAAGGCUGCUCAAUUUUAUAUUCCUUUCUGCAUUGUGUAAGAGUUCCAAUUUCUCUACAUCAUCACCAACACUUUUUAUUAUCUUUUUGAUGAUAGCCAUCUUAGUGGGUGUGAAGUGGUAUCUCCCUGUGGUUUCUAAGCCCUCUUUUUAAGUCCAAAGUGUGGGAAGAAUACCCCAUAACUGCUUUCUUAGGUCGUGGAGAUGAGGCACUCACAGCAAAGCUCUCUCCAAAGAAAAUGUAUGUGAAGAUCAUUCUCUAACUUCUAGCCUAUGGAACCUUCCAUCUCUGAGAUGGCAAGGAAUUUAGGACUCAUUACCCUUGGUUUCCCCUACUUCCUUUCCUGCAAGUUAUGGAUGGUGGGGUCUGCCCUUUCACUUUGAUAUACCUGGUCUAGAGUCUUCAGGCUUCAGCUGAAAUGUCCAUUUAACAUCAUGUUACAAAUAAACUAUCUUUAACAACACAGAUCUUUCAUUUAUAAUAUAUCCACUUCUCCCCCAUUCAGGCACAGACCUCUUCAGAUUUCAUUUGAAGUGUUUUCCUCUUUAAAAUUAACUACAUUUGACGCAACUGGCUCCUUUGAAGGAAAAAAAACACAGACUGUUGCACAUAGUCAUGAAUCACAAAUGAGGGUGUUUAUAUAUUCAAUGAGAAAUUAUUUUUGCUGGCAAAUGGUUGUGUUUUUUUCCAGUCCCCUUAAAUCCUUACCUUUUUAAAAAAAUGGAUUUGAGCUGGCUAACCAAAAUACAUAUGAUACAACAGAAUAAAAACAAUAGAGAAGAAAUCAGGCAAAGGGAAAGAAAGGAUAGAAAAAUGAAAACACAACUAAGGAAUAAGUAACAUUUGCAAAUGCUAGACAUAGGCACAGUUGUCAGAGGUGGUCACAGAUGUAUCUGAAUUCCCUAAUUGUUUAAACAAAGAGAAGAACACAAUCAGUUUCACAAUUUUACAUAUUUAUAUGACGUAAAGAAUGUAGUUGCUUAGGACAACCAUACAUUUUCCUAAGAGAAAUAAUGUCUCCUGUGUUCUUAUAGUAAGCAUAUUGUGGACUGAAACACAAUAUGCCCAAAUAAAUAACGCUUAGCCUGAUGCUCUUUCUUUGGAUAUUUCUCAAUGCAAACAGGUGGUAUAAGGCUAAAGGUGAUUUUAUUAAAAUUCAUUAUAGAAAAUCUUUAUAUAGAAAUAUGUUAAUUGGUAAUCUUGCUUUAGACUGUCUAAUCUUGUGUAUUUUAUGACAUUGUACUUACAACAUUGCAUAUUUUCACAAUAGUCUUCACAGUCACAUAGACACACUCUAAGUUUGUUGAUAAAUAUUUCUACUUUUAGUAACAGUUUUACCUGAUAUGAAACAUGAGAUCUACUUCCGUUGGUGAUUUACCCAUUGGAUACAUGUGAGUGUUUAUGUAUAUUCUUGCAACUUCCCUUCUAAGAUAGUUCACAUAUGAAUUUUCAACUUAAAAAAUGAAUUUUUUUUUACCAAAAGUUGUGGAUUGAUGGUCAGGAUAAAAUUAUAUACAUGGGAUGCCAUUCUUUGACCUUCUCUACAUCUUAUAGGAGAUUGAAAGAUUCUUCCUUGCUUUUUGUUUUUCUUCUUUUCCCCAAAAAUGCUGCUUUUGGGUAUAAAAAAAGAGUUAAAAUUACGAAUCUUUAAACCACAUCUGGUUUGUGUGUUCUCAGAGGCCACUUGCUGGAAAAGCAAGGCGUGAGGCGAAAAAGGAAGGAAAAUAUCAUAUAGUCCAGUUAACCAGUUCUAUAAGGAAAACGAAACUAUUCUUAGGAGUUAUAACCAUUUAAAAAUGUAGAAAGAGGUACAGGAAAAGAACAACUUUUUUUUUUCCUCUGAAGAAACCAGCAGCCCAUAGAAUUAGCUCACAAAUAGAAAUCAGAUCACUUGAAUGCACAGGAAUGCCAUGGUCAGGCCAGGAGACAGUUAUACCAUGUCCCUGGCCUCAGGAUGGUUACCGUUAGAUUGGAGUAAAAAUCAGAGGUAAUGGUUUUACUGAGGCGGAAUGAGCUAUGUGUUGGUGCAAAUUCACUGUCGGUGAAGAAGACAAAUAAAUUAUUAAAUGGGCGUAUGUGUUACUGAGGUGUAUUUCUGCUUAAUGGACACUUUUGGCUGUUCUUAGAGAUGUUUUUAUCCAAAACUACUUAAUAAGGGGAGAUUUAUAUAUAAAUACUCCCUGGUGAGAAGUACAAAUAGUUUGGUCUUUAAUAAAUCAAAAUCUGAAAAGCACUUCCUAAGUCCUCCCUCUGUGUGGUGGGGGAGAAUAAUAUAUCUUAAUUUUGAAGCAGUUCAGACAUUUUAAAAUAUAGAGUCUGGGGAAGGAGCAAACACAUCUCUAACAUGGAGGAUGCAAAAGCUCCUUAAGCCGAUUAAUUAGGGAAUUUGGCUGAUGAAAUAGUUUCACUGCUUUCAGAAACAGGUGUUUGGAAAGGCAGCUGAAGAACGAGUGUUAUGUCCACUUUGCUGAUGGCUAUAUCAUUCCCUCCCUACCUCCUAGAACAGUGUAGGCACAUGGUAGGCAUUCAGUAAACCUGUAAAAGGAAUGAGUGAGCAAGGCUAAAGAUGCUGUCCAGAAUUGCUGUAGGUGACCUAUGCUGAUGAACAGCUAGGACUACAUUGUAAUUUGCAUUGAACAUAUUUGUUGGUUAAUGGCUUCUUCCCUGGUAUUUGAGAGUUGGCUUUCCUAAACAUUUUAAAGCAUUUCCUUUCAAUCUUAUAUAUGCUAUUAUAUUGAAUUUUCCAUAAAGUUUUGUAUUAGGCUAUUCCCACGCUGCUAAUAAAGACAUACUCAAGACCAAGUAAUUUAUAAAGGAAAGAGGUUUAAUUGACUCACAGUUUAGCAUGGCUGGAGUGGCCUCAGGAAACUUACAAUCAUGGCAAAAGGGGAAGCAAACACAUCCUUCUUCACAUGGCGGCAGCAAGGAGAAGUGCAGAGUGAAGUGAGGGAAAAACCCCUUACAAAACCAUCAGAUUUCAUGAGAACGCACUCACAUGGAACACCAAGGAAGUAAUCGCCCCCAUGAUUCAGUUACCUCCCACUGGGUCCGUCCCAUGACGUGGGGAUUAUGGGAGCUACAAUUCAAGAUGAGAUUUGGGUGAAGGCACAGCCAAACCAUAUCAUCCCAUUCCUGGCCCCUCCCAAAACUCAUGUCAUCACACUUCAAGACACAAUUAUGCCUUCCCAACAGUCCCCCAAAGUCUUAACUCAUUCCAGUAUUAACUCAAAAGUCCAAGUCCAAAGUCCCAUCUGAGACAAGGCAAGUACCUUCUGCCCAUGAGCCUGUAAAAUCAAAAGCAAGUUAGUUACUUCCUAGAUACAAUAGGGGUGCAAGCAUUGGGUAAAUACACCUGUUCCAAAUGAGAGAAAUUGGCUAAAACAAAGGGGCUAUAGGCCCCAUGCAAGUCUGAAAUCCAAAUUGGUCAGUAAAAAUGUUAAAGCUCCAAAAUAAUCUCCUUUGACUCCAUGUCUCAUAUCCAGGGUGUGCUGAUGCAAGAGGUGGCUCCCACCAUCUUGCAUAGCUCUGCCCCUGUGGCUUUGCAGGGUACAGCACCCCCUCCCAGCUGCUUUCACAGCUUUCACAGCUGGCGUUGAGUGUCUGCAGCUUUUGCAGGAGCACAGUGCAAGCUGUUGGUGGAUCUACGAUUCUGGGGUCUGGAGGAUGGUGACCCUCUUCUCACAGUUCCAUUAAGCAGUGCCCCAGUGGGGACAUUUUGUUGGUGUUCCAAGCCCACAUUUCCCUUCUGCACUGCCCUAGCAGCGGUUUUCUGUGAGGGCCCCACCUCUGCAGCAGACUUCUACCUGGACAUCGGGUGUUUUCAUACAUCCUCUGAAAUCUAGGUAGAGGUUCCCAGACUUCAGUUCUUGACUUCUGUGGACUCACAUACCCAGCACCACAUGUAAUCCACCAAGGCUUGGGACUUUCAGCCUCUGAAGCAAUGGUCUGAGCUGUACGUUGGCUUCUUUUAGCCACGGCUGAAGUUUAAGCAGCUGGAACAUAAGGCACGAAGUCCCAAGGCUGCACACAGCAGGGGUCUCUGGACCCAACCCAAGAAACCAUUUUUGCCUCCUAGGCCUCCAGGCCUGUGAAGGGAGGGGCUGCUGUUAAGACCUCUGACAUGUCCUGGAGACAUUUUCCUAUUGUCCUGGUGAUUAAUAUUUGGCUCCUUGUUACUCAUGCAAAUUUCUGCAGCCAGCUUAAAUUUCUCCCUAGAAAAUAGGUUUUUAUUUUCUAUCACAUCAUCAGGCUGCAAAUUUUCCAAACUUUUGGGCUCUGCUGCUUCUUGAACACUUUGCUGCUUAGAAAUUUCUUCUGCCAGAUAACCUAAAUCAUCUGUCUCAAGUUCAAAGUUCCACAGAUCUCUGGGGCAGGGGAAAAAUGCUGCCAGUCUCUUUGCAUAGCAAGAGUGAACUUUACUCCAGUUACCAACAAGUUUCCUAUCUCCAUCUGAGACCACCUCAGGCUGGACUUCAUUGUCCAUAUUACUAUCAGCAUUUUGUUCAAGACCAUUCAACAAGUCUCUAGGAAGUUUCAGACUUUCCCACAUCUUCCUGUCUUCAGAGCCCUGCAAGUCUCUAGGAAGUUUCAAACUUCUUCACACUUUCCUAUCUUCUUCUGAGCCCUCCAAAUGGUUCUAAGCUCUGCCUGUUACCCAGUUCCAAAGUCGCUUCCACAUUUUUGGGUAUCUUCAUAGCAGCACCCCACUCUCUGUUGUAGCAAUUUACUGUAUUAAUCCAUUCUUACACUACUAAUAAAGACAUACCCAAGACUGGGUGCUUUACAAAGAAAAUAAGUUUAAUUGACUCACAGUUUUGCAUGGCUGGGGAGGCCUCAGGAAACUUACAAUCAUGUCAGAAAGAGAUGCAAACAUGCCCUUCUUCACAUCUCAGCAGAAAGGAGAAGUGCUGAGCAAAAAAGGGGGAAGCCCCUCAUAAAACCAUGAGGUCUCCUGAGAACUCACUCACUUUCACGAGAACAGCAUGAGGGUAACCGCCCCCAUGAUUCAAUUACCUCCCACCAGGUCUCUCUCAGGACACAUUGGGAUUAUGGAAACUACAAUUCAAGAUGAGAUUUUGGUAGGGACACAGCCAAACUAUAUCAAGUUUGCAGAAAAAAACCUCAAAUGAUUAUCACAAAAUAAGAAUCAGAUGAGUUUUGAAUUAAUGCGUUUCUCCAUAGUUAACUUUUUUCAAUUUAAACAUUUAGUUAUAAAUAAAUAUUUGAUUAUUUGGAAACUGUGGCUAUGAAAGUAUAUUAUUUCUCAAAAAAAGGAAUAAAAUGAAUGAAUGAGUGAUAAUCCUAGGUAGCAAAACCCUAGUGUUAGCUAAUGCUCUAUUUUUAGUCUCUUUGUAUUCAUGAACGUGCUUGAAAUAAAGUAAUUUAUUUAAGCACUUGUUUUGGAUCUCUUCUCUGUUAGGCAUUCUCUAGAUGUGAGAAAAUCAGAUAAGUUAAAAUUCAUGCUCUCAUGGACUUUAUAUUUUAGGGAGAGGAGAGAGGCAAUAAACAAAUUUUAAAAUAAUGAAAUUAUAUUAUGGCGUUAAUUAGUUACAGAGCACUGAAGUGAAAUAAAGUAGAAUGAUUAAGGAGGUGACUCAGGGUAGCAGUGCUGCAUGAAAAAGGUUCUCAGGGAAACAAGGGAGUAAACACUGCAUAUGUCUAGGAAAAAAUAUUUCAGGCAGAGGGAAGCAAAAUUCAAAAGCACCUAAUACAGGAGUGUGCUUAGGGUGUUUACAAAACAAGAGGAGGACCCUGCAUUUGGAGCAGCAGGAGCCAGUAAGGGUGAGCACAGUGGGGUCAGGAUGAUGGGGGAAGUUAUGUAGGGUCUCACAGUAGCACUCCAUCUCUGCACUGUGUUCUGUAUGAUGGAAUCCAUUGGAGAGUUUAAAGCAUAGAGAACUUGAUCAGGUUUCUACUUUUAAAAAACCCAAAUGUGGCUGCUGUGGAAGAGAGACUCUCAUGGUCAAGCUUAGCAGCAGGGAGAAAUAGCAGAAGGCUCUUUCCUCUUUCCAAAUGAGAGAGGAUGGAUGGUGGUUUGAACUGGAAUCUUGGUAGUGAGAGGGUGAGAAGUGGUUCGGUCUGUGAUCUCCAUUAGAGCCAGAGCCUUCAGAAAUUACUGCUGGAUUGGGUGUAGAGUGUGGUAGAAUGAUACUAGUCAAGAGUGAAUCCUAAGUGUUUAGCCUGAAAAGUUGGGUGAAUACUAUUUAAUGACUCAAGGAAGAUUAGAGAGGAGGAAGAUUCAGGAGCAUGAAAGCAAGACUACUUCUAGACAUGUUACCUGUUACCCUUGAGAUGCUUUUAAGACAUCCAAGGGGAGAGGUAGAGUCAGCAGCUGGAUAUUUGAGUCUGGAACACAGAGGGGAUGUUGAAGCUGGUGAUAGAAAGUUGGAUGCUGGCUAUAUAUAGAUGAUAUUUGAUGACAGAAUGCCAUAGACUGGAUGGCUUAUACACUAUGGAAAUGUAUUUCUCACAGUUCUGGAGGCUGAGAAGUCCAAGAUCAAGGCCCUGGCAGAUUUAGUGUCUGGUGAGGGCCCAGUUCCUCAUAGACAGCUUUGUUCUUAUUGUGUCCUCACAAGACAAGAGUGAGGGAUUUCUCUGUGGUCACUAAUCUGAUUCAUGAAGGCUCCACACUCAUGACCUAAUCACCUCCCAAGGGUUCCACUGCCUAAAGCCAUUGCAUUGGAGAUCAGGUCUCAACAUAUGAAUUUGCAGGGAACAUAAACAUUCGGUUUCUGGCAGUAUUUAAAGCUAUGGACUACAUGAAACCAUCUAAGACAGUGCCUUUCAAAAUAUAUCUGGUGAAUGACCUUUGUUUUUUCUAAUUUGCUGUAGACUGAUGCUUUUAAAUACAAUAAAAAUAAAUCUAAGGGAAAACAAAAUUUAAGGAAAACUGAAAUAAAUACAUACUAAAUACAAGUGCCACUUUUUUUGCUAAUAGAGUUAAUAGACAUAAAAUUAUUCUGUCAAAUUGCUGUAAAACUUUUUUUUUUUUUUUGAGAAGUAGUCUUGCUCAGUGGCCCAGGCUGGAGUGCAGUGGUGCGAUCUCGGCUCACUGCAACCUCCGCCUCCCGGGUUCAAGCAAUUCUCCUGUCUCAGCCUCCCAAGUAGCUGAGAUUACAGGCACACGCCACCACGCCCAGCUAAUUUUUGUAUUUUUAGUAGAGAUGGUUUCACCAUGUCGGCCAGGAUGGUCUCGAUCUCUUGACCUCAUGAUCCGCCCGCCUUGGCCUCCCAAAGUGCUGGGAUUAUAGGCGUGAGCCACGGCGCCCAGCCUGUAAAAGUUUCUUAACACUCACUCUGGCUUCCUGUACUUAUCUUGCUAUGGACUGAGAACAAACAAUUCACAGAGAGUGCUUGUUCAUGUUUCAUGCUGUUAGUCACACCAACCUGGGAAUGAGUGUGGAGGGAAAAGGGACCCUGAGCCACAACUUUGCCCUCAGAAAAAUGAGUAGAGAGGUGGGAAUUCAGCAGACUGUGGUUCCUAGAAUCCAGAUGAAGAUGUUUCAAGAAAAACGAGGCAAUUACAUAGUAUAUGCAAAAUAGAUCCCCAGGCAUUCACUGUAAUAAUGAAAUACCAGAGUGAAUGGAAAGAUGUUAUUUUGCUUUUACUCGUUCCUUCCCCAAGCUUUCAUGGUGGUAUGGUUCUACCAGUCUUAAGCUUUGUUUAUGCAUGGCCUAUUCUAAGAUCAUUUGGGGACAAACCUGAAUGAGGAAGUCUCCCAAAAGAGCAACAGGAUUGCCAAAGUAAAAGUUGCAUCAGGGUCCAACCUAAAAGUACAAGCCAAGUGUCUCAACUCUUAGAUUGGAUGCUGUAGGGGGUCAACCUGGCCAUUAAAGUUGUUACCACACCAACCAUUUCUGUGUAUUAGGGUUAUCCUUCUUUAUUUUCAGCAGUAGCUAUUAUUUCAGCCAACACCUAUCCAAACCAUGCCAACAAUAUUGGAAUACACUUGAUUCUCAGCAAAGGUGAUUUCUUCGGACAAAGGAAAAAAUAUCUAUGCACAAUGGUUAGUUGGUUCAAAUGCACACAUAUGGACCCAACAUAAGAUGACUACCUGAUGUAGAGCCAUAAGGGAAUCGUGGGAUCCAGGUUUUCCAUGUGUAACUCAUCCUCCCACUUAUAAAUAUUACCCCAUCUUUCUUACUUAGGCUUUUGCUUGUCUCUGCUCAUCCCUCCACCUCUGUUCCCCACCUGGGGGCAGCUGAAUUUGGACUAUUGCCCAGCUAGAUGUUAGGAUGAAGGCCCAUUCUAGUACUUUGCUUGUAAUUCUUUUUAAUUAUCCACAAAUGUCUAAACAUUUUCUGGCCCUUAACCCAGUCCCAAUCUGGCAGCUUUACCUAUUCCAGUGGUUCUCAAUCAGGAGUGAUUUUGCUCCCCAGGGAACACCUGGAAAAGUCUAGAGGAAUUUUGAUAUAACUGGGAGGGGGUGAGGUACUACUGGCAUCUUGUGGGUAGAGAGUAGGGAUGCUGUUUAACAUCCUGCAAUGCACAGAACAGCCCCUGACAACAAACAGUUAUCUGGCCCCAGAUGCCAACAGUGCCAGAGUUAAAGAACUUUGCCUUGUAUUUCAUUAUUGUGUCCUCCAUGCUAGUGUUUCUCACCACUUAAAUAUUGUAGAUGUUUUCAGGUUGAUUGUGUCCCUACCCAAAUCUCACCUUGAAUCAUAAUAAUCCCCACGUGUCAAGGGUGGGGCCAGGUGGAGAUAAUUGAAUCAUAGGGGUUUUCCCCAUACUGUUCUCCUGGUAGUGAAUAAGUCUUACAAGAUCUGAUGGUUUUGUAAAUGGGAGUUCCCCCACAUAAGCCCUCUUGCCUGACACCAUGUGUUUGCUUCUCUUUUGGCUUCUGUCAUGAUAGUGAGGCCUCCCCAGCCAUGUGGAACUAUGAGUCCCUUAAACCUCUUUCCUUUAUAAAUUACCCAGUCUCGAAUAUGUCUUUAUUAGCAGCAUGAGAACAGACUAAUACGAGGGCUAAUUUUUUUUUUUGUUUGUUUGUUUCUUUUGAUAGGGUCUCGCUCUGUCACCCAGGCUAGAGUGCAGUGAUGCAAUCAUAGCUCACUGCAGCCUCAAACUUGGGGACUCAAGUGAUAUUCCCACUUUAGCUUCCCAAGUAGCUGGGACUAUAAGCAUGUACCACUAUACUUGGCUAAUUUUUUUCUCAAACUCCUGGGCUCAAGUGAUUGUCCUUCCUUGGCCUCCUAAAGUGUUGCCAUGGCUAACAUGUCUUUAAGAUUUCAACAGUCAGCCUUGCACGGUGGCUUAUGCCUGUAAUCCCAGCACUUUAGGAGGCUGAGUUGGGCAGAUUACCUAAGGUCAGGAGUUCGAGACCAGCCUGGCCAACAUGGUGAAACCCUGUCUCUACUAAAAAUAUGAAAAUUAGCCGGAUGUGGUGGCACAUGCCUGUGGUCCCAGCUACUUGGGAGGCUGAGGCAGAAUUGCUUGAGCCCAGGAGACAGAGGUUGCAGUGAGCCGAGAUCAUGCCACUGCACUCCAGCCUGGCCAACAGAGUGAGAUUCUGUGCAGAAAAAUAAAUAAAUAAAUAAAUUCAAGAGUCCAAAUUCAACUUGUGAGUUACACUUAGAAGGAUUUAUUGACAAAUUUGUUAAAAGUGUGUAUCCUUGGCUGGGCGCGGUGGCUCAGGCCUGUAAUCCCAGCACUUUGUGAAGCCAAGGCGGGCGGAUCACGAGAUCAGGAGAUCGAGACAAUUCUGGCUAACACGGUGAAACCCCAUCUCUAUUAAAAAAUACAAAAAAUUAGCCGGGCGUGGUUGCGGGCGCCCAUAGUCCCAGCUACUCGGGAGGCUGAAGCAGGAGAAUGGCGUGAACCAAGGAGGCGGAGUUUGCAGUGAGCCGAGAUUGUGCCACUGCACUCCAGCCUGGGGGAGAGAGCGAGACUCCGUCUCAAAAAAAAAAGAAAGUGUGUAUCCUCAGUCACUGCACAGCAGUGUUGAUGCAGGAAGACAUCAGUAAUGAAAAUAGCUGAUGGGAUGUCUGAAUUGUAGAAUGGUUUCCAUGUAACGCAUUGGAUUAUAUCUGAGUGCCCUGUGGCUUGACCUACCCAGCUCACCAAAAUACCCGCCUGGGGAAACUUGCCUUGAACAGAGCCCAUAGCCCUGGGCCUUGAAGAGCCCAGGAGACUCUGCCUACAAAAAAAAUCCUCCUCAUUAGGGAGAUGACACCUUUUUCUGAGCUGUGUACUUGCAGGUAAGGGACAGGUUUUGGUGGGGACACUGGCUGGAUUCCAGGCUUACACUGCCCUCUAGGCCAGGCAUUUUUGUUUGAGGCACAACCUGCACAGACGUAUGCUUCAGCCUGGUCUGAGUAAUAUCUUUGAGAUGAGGAUUCUGUUUAGUUUUUAUUUACUGAAGAAACAUAAGAGCCUUCUUUGUAUCUAUUUUAGGUGCUUGAGUACACCAAGGAAUAAAAUAAGUAAAGAUCCCUUCCCUCAAAGAAUUUAUAUAGUGGUGCUUAUAAUUUAGUGGAGCUUGCAUUUUUAAAGUUGAUUAUGUAAAGCUAAUAAUAACUGUACAUUGUAAGUGAAAACUAAUAAAUUACUCAAGAUUUCUUCCUUAGGUGCAGAUAGUAGUGACCUGGUUUAAAUAGUACCAGUGCCUUGGGCUAGGCUUUCUUCCUCUUGCAGAAUGCUCCAGCUGUCCUCACACUGGGGAGGAGGGCAAGUGCCUUCUUGUACUGCUUGCUACAUGUGCUUCUUGUACUACUAGCUGAACUUGAGUCUUCGCUAGUAGCUUGGUUUAGUGUAAAGGGAAGCAUGUUACCCUCUAUAUGACUAGCACUUCCUGCAGCCUCACCCGCAGUUUCUAACAAGUCUCUGAUUGAACAUUUAAUCUAAAAGCUCCAUUCUGAAUUUAUGAGGUGUUUCCUGCUUUUUGUUUUAUUUUGCUUUUCUUGCCUAUGGGUACCUAAAGCCUGUGUCUUCGGCCAUGUCAGUCAAAAGGUUGCUUGUGCAUUUUUUUUCCUGUUUUGGGGGUUUUGGAUCACUAUUGGCCUAACGUCAUGAGCAGCUGCCUUACUCCAAUUUCUAUAUACCACCAUCACUAUCCCUAACCGUAGUUCUGGAGCAAAGCAUACAAGAGCACAGAAAACCAAAAAUAAAGUUUCUAAAACAGAUAGCAGUGAGAAGCUCAUGUAGGUGGACUGCAGAUCUGAAGUUCAUUGGCAGAAGUGGGACUCACACUCGGUCUACCUUUGACAUCUGGAAAGACACGAUGCACAAACCUACAUGACAUAAAUUAUUGAAUCCAGUCAUUCCUAUUCUAGGACUGUGACAGCUUUAUACCUGUUCCAUUGAAAAAGAAUGAUGAUUUUUUUUUUCAAAAAGACAUAAUGCAUCAAACACAUUUCUGUGUCCAUGUUGUGGUUCCAAGGUGCUAUGAUUUCUGACCAUUGUGUGCCUUCAGAGAUAUUUCCAUGAUGUUCAGUGAAGCUAGACUUCUGUAUAAUUGGGCUAUCAUAAUUGUUACACUAUUGAACACUUGCCUUUUGUUCCCAUAAGGCUCUAGCCCAGUGGUAAAAAUUUUUCUUUUCACUUUUUCUUUGAUCAUGGUCAGAUGGUAACUGGAAUUUGGGUUGCAUGAAAUGGACUAUUAGGGGACUGAAGGAUAUGACAUGGUGGAUAAAGUUUGAAAGGAAGGAUUCUGUAAACAUGGAGGUUUAGAUGAGAACUUAGUUGAUUUGAAGACCAGGCCAGAUUUCAGGCUGCUCAAGGGAGUCAUUUAUAGACUUACAUCUAUAAAUGGUUUUGAUUCAGAAAACCCUUGGCUAUGUUUGUUUGAAAUCUAAGGAUUUUGAUAUCUUCUCGCUGAGUUUUGACUCAUUUAUAAGAAUAGUGAAUAUUAGAGACCAUACAACUUACACACAAAUAGAAGGGAAUCACAUUCUUUUCCUGUCAUUUUGGAGGGGGAACCUUACCAUAGUCAAAGCAGGUGAAACUUAUGAUUCAUUGUUGAUUUUUAAUAACAUAUGUCAAAGGGAGGAGUGCAAGGGGCAAGAUCUGAAACAAUGGCUCACCUUAAAAAUGCAUUUGUGUUUGGUGUUUGGAGGAUUUGCUCUCAUUACUUUUGUAGCCGAUUAACAUUUGAAGUCAUGUUUGUUUUUCUCAGACUAGUAUUAAACUGGGUGCAUAAUAAUUACCCAGCAGCAGGAAUCUGGUAACAGAUUAAGAAUGGAGAAUCCAUAGAGUCAGUAUGAAUAAGGGAGACCCAAUAUCUCUCUGGAAAUACCACAGAAUGAAGUAAUAGAAAAAUCAUUUUACCUCACUAAGGAAUUAUAAGUUUCAUGGCUCCUUUUGCAAAAGUUUAAAGACCUUGAGUUUAUUUCUUGUCGAUCUUCAGAAUUUUAAUUUCUAGUGCACUGAAUUUACACAUUGCUUCACAUGGAAGUGUAUGUACUGGUGGAAACACAAAAUAGAAUGUUUAAUAAAAUUUCAGGGGGCUAGGGGAGGGAUAACAUUAGGAGAAAUAACUAACGUAGGUGACAUAUACCUACGUAACAAAACUGCAGGUUCUGCACAUGUAACCUGGAACUUAAAGUUUAAUAAUAAAAAUAAAAUAAAAUUGCAGGGAAGGGGUUAGAGGCUUUUGAAUUAAAGUCUUGGGGGAAAAAAUGGAAGGAGACAUAUGCUUAAGAUGAUCUCUAUUUUCAGUGGACAGAGCUAAGUUGGUGAGAAAGGCUGGGGGCCUGUGCUUUGUCAGGUAGUUUUCAUGGGGAGAAAAUGUCGGGUAAAAGAAACCCAGAUUGAGAAAUAGUCAACAGACCUCAGUUUCUCAAUGCAUUUUAUUUUAUUUUAUUUUAUUUUAUUUUUAUCUCAAGCCAUUGGAUUUCUCUGACCCACCAGGACCAAGGCAAGUAACAGGAGGUGAGAAUAUAGGAUUUCAAAAGCAUUAAGAGUUGUGAUUUUUUUUUGAAGUCUAGAAACAAUAUGCAUCUUGAUAUGCAAUAAAGGACUUUACAGACUUCUCAUUGAAUCAGCAGUGCAUUGUUUACUGUACUUUUUUACUUUAUUUUAGUAAAUGUAUGAAUAUUUAUAUAGACUUGUAUAAAUUCACCCCUAACUUCAGUUCCUCAAGGCUUCUUUUACAGUCACAUCUUAAAUUCAUCAACCACAAGUUAUCCUUCUAGAAGGUUCUUGGGGAACUGUAAACUGCUUCAGGGACCACUGUAUUUUCACUAUCAUUGUUCGUUUUUAUUUCAGGGGUGUGUCCAGGGAUUUGUCCUUGGUUUAAUCAAUCUUUAUUUUCAGCAAAAUGUUGACGUUAGGGCAAAGUUGUUUUUGUGGCUGUUGUGAUAAGACCUUGAACAUUUUCGCCACUGCAAUUCAAGAGGCACUUGGCUACUCUGUGGCAGGCAGACUCUGAGGAUUAUAACUCCUCUUGCAGGGAGGGCUGGAACCUCCCUAGGGAGCAGGCGGGGGCUGGACAGUCUGCCAGACACACGCUCUCUAGGACACACCUCUUUUUUUCCCCCUAUAGUGCUUGUGACUGAUGAAUUCAAUGAGCACUUCAAUUCUCCUACUUUGUUCUUUCAGCAGACCAUUUGUGUCUUUGAGAGCUUAUUUUGGCAAAUGAAUAAUCAGCUAUCCGAAUUGGCUCAAGAACGAUCAAGGCGAAUAUUUGACCUCUACUUUAGAUGAUCUACAUUUUUAAUGUUAGUAUUUGUGACUUAGCAGAGUGGUUGAUCGUAACUGGCCUUCUUUCUUCCUCGUCUGUGAGCAUACAUCAAAGGCUCCAAAAUAUGCACACAAAACAAGUUUAAAAGCCGUCAUCAUUGUGAAAAUUUCUUGUGAUUUUUAUUUUAGUUGGGAGAGAAGGAGGUGUGAACAGGAGAUGCUCAUGGCUGUUUUUUCUACAGAUCAAAUCCAUAGAUCUACAUUGUAUUGUUUUUCUCCUUUCAGAACUUUAGUAUAAAUUCAUUACUUGUCUUAUUAUUGAACAAUAUUAUUCAGACAUAGUGAAGUACUUUGAUGUAGUUCUAGUGGCUAUAUUUGUUGUUUCUUAGAAGACUUAGCUGUCUGCAGGGGAAGUAAAAAUAAUGGAAUUAAGCAAUGGGAUCAUCCCCCUUCAAAAGUCUUACAUUUAUUAGCAUACAUUCUUUUUUUUUAAGACAGAAGUCCACAAACUAUGGCAUAAUAAACAAUAAUGCUAUUCUGGAACAUGGAAAGUCCUGGACUGGUCAUCAGAUAUAGGCUCUAGCCUUGACUUCACCAGCAACUAGGCGUGGGGCCAUGGAUAACUCAUUUAACUUUCAUGACUCUCAGCAUUCUCAUCUACAAAAAAGGUUGGAUUAAUUCAAUCAGUGGUUCUCAAAUUUGAAUGUGCAACAGAAUCACUGGACCUCAUUACCAUAUUCAGUAAAGCUUGGGUGGAGAUCUGCAAAUUUGCCUGUCUAACAUGGUCCCAGGUGAUAAUGAUGCUGGUGUGGGGAGCACACUUUGAGAAUCACUGGAUUGGAUGAUUUCUCUGACUACUUCUGGUAUUAACAUUGGGUGACUUUUAUGCUCUGUAGCUAGAAUGAUCUGUUUAGAGCUUCUGAAUGCAUUGGCUGUGAUGGGUCCAAUGGGGAAGUGCUACAAGUAGAACCGAAUAAGAGCAGAAAUUUGAAUCAAUAGAGUCAUAUGGUUUUAGGAUGGCCCAAAUAUUAACAGUAUCUCUGAGUGGUCAAACCCCCCCAACCGAGAGUUGGUGUAUUGGAGUCCAGCAGCAGGGGCAUCACAUGGUGGUGGCUAGAGCAAGGUGAGCAUUUGGUUGGACUGAUGAGAUCAGUGUAAAUGAGAUCAGUGUAAAUGUAAUUAGCAAGAAUCAAUAUAUUCCAUCCAAGAACUUCUCUUAUCAAAAGAGAGGGUAGAACAGUUGAAAACAUGAAUGAGUAGGCAUGAAAGAUGGAUUUCCAAAGACCAUCUUUGGUCUUUGGUCCAAAGACACAGAGCUUUGCUCUGUGUGUGUGCGUGUGUGUAUGUGUGUGUGAUUUUCUCUCUCUCUCUGUGUCUCUCAUAUACAGAUAUAAAUUGUGUUGUCCCAUCUAUCUAAUGGGUAGGUUAGAUUAGAUCAGUGGUUCUUUAAAAAGGCAGUUUCUGCACAGCAACAAUUAUAAUGCAGUCUGCAAAUAGCUAUAUUUUGCUUGGGCAACAAAGCCGAGGAAGUCUCAGUUUGUAAUUUAACCAAAAACGGUUUUUAAAAAGCACAUCCAGUAGAAAUAUCUUUGGCCCCUUACCUUCUUUCUGCAUCAAGGUGAACACUUUUCAUUACAUCUGGAAAUAGCCAGUAAAAAAUCACUGGCCAGUACAAAUUCUUAGGCAAUAGGAACUAACCAGACGUUUUAUCAGCCAAUCAGAAUGCUGUAGAAUAACCUGAGAAAGGCUGACACUGAAGACGUUUGUGGCAAUCCAGUGCCUAGCACAGAAAAUACUUGUGUGUAUUGCAUCAACUGCUCCCAGUUCUCCAUAGCAGUGGAGGAGAAGUCAGAAAGAGAAGAGAGAGACCAACUUCUAGACUUCCCUACUGCCCUACCGGGUGGUUGCAUUAAAAGCAUCUGUUUAAUAAGAGUUCGCCAAGUUUACUUAUUGUUACUAAAUAACAUGUAAAUUGGUAUUUCCAGCGAUACUAAGAAUUUUCACAGUUCUAGGAUCAGCCUGAAAGCAGUUCAAUCUAGUUACUGAUUUAUGUGUUUCUGAAAUCUAAAAAAUUUUCCCAAGACCCUGCUCAGACUUUUAUCACUAAGUCUAGAUGGUGUUUUCAAAUAUUUUACAUAAAUAUAUUUCACUGUAAAAAUGUAAACUUUAUACAUGAUAUUUAACAAUUCCUUAUAUUAAGAGGAAGCAAAAAAGCAGCUAAGAAAAAUGUUUUAACUCUCCAUAUUUCUUUCUACCUUCAUGUAAAUGGGAAUACUUUAGUUUUAUGAUAACAGACCUGUUUUAAAAAUCUUACUUCAUCUUUAUAAGCAUUUUAGUGUUAGCUGAAAGUAAAUUACUCUCUUUCCUUUCUCCAUUUUCAUAAUCUCUUGCCGCCAUUUGGAAAUAUGUUCUCAUUAGUAAUUAUGGCACUUGCAGCCUAAAUGGUCAUGAAGUCACUAUCCGGACCAUUUUUGGGGUGUCCCCAUUGGAUGCAAGUAGUUUAAAGCCAUAUGAUUUGUUUUUACUAGCUGUGCUGUUCUUAACCAGGGAUAAUAAAGGCUUUGCAAAUCAAGUCUGCAUGGCAAAAAAGGUGUCCACAAGUGUGAAUGGCUCAUUUUUAAUGACUUGCCAACAGCCACUUGUAAAAGGUGUAAUUGAAAUUGUUAAGAGAUUAGGUUCCAGUCUGCUUUUUCCUCCUUCUCAAAAGUUUUCAUGGAUCCAGGCUAUUCUUAAGCAUUGUUUAAUACUAGAAAUAGCCUUUAUGGACUAAUAAUAAGAAAGAAAAAGGCAAAUUUUAAAAGAUUUUCCAAAUUCAAAGAAAAUAAGUUUGCCAGCCUGACUUUUGAUUAUCUGUAAAAAUCAGGGCCAAUAGUUUAAGCGGAAGAGUAAAUAUGAAGGUUUUCUAAACCAUUUUUUCUGGUGGAGAGGGUUGGAGGUGGGAAGUUCUCCUUUAUUCAGCAGCAGUGCCUACAAAAAAAAUAAAUGGUGUUUCUGUGAACCUCAAAAAGUAAAUCAGUGGGUGGAUGUAGGAAUUGGGGUAAAUGAGCAAUAGCUGCCUUGUCAUUUCAAGUUCUGUGUCUUAUUCCUAUUUCACAAUCCUUUCAUAGGAGAGAGAGAGAGAGAGUUUUCUUUAAAGGCAAGGUUUGUGGAUAAGAAAAAUUAUUGAAAUAAUGCGGGAAUAACUCAAAACCAGAGAAGCCUUUGACUCAGUUCAAAGAGGCUAGUAGGAGGAAAUUGACUAAAGCUGUACAGACUCUAAGACCUCGGCACUUACAUUCCUUUGCAUUUCUUGAAGAAUGCUUUGAAUUCUUGUUCUACUCCUAGGAGGCUCUCGGACUUCAGAUACUAAUCUCAAAGAGAGUUAUGGAGUCCGGAAGACAUCAAUUCCCUGUGACAAACAGAAAACUAAUUUACAUUCCUGCUGAAACUCUAUGUAGAUUUUAUUUUCUCAAAAAAAAAAAAAAAAAAGAUUUGUUUCCAGGUGCUUUCAAGUUGUUAUGAUAGAGCUAGAGGUGAUGCACAAAAGAAUCUCAUAUUUUCUCUGCCUUCCAGCUCUGUCAUCCAGUAGCUGCAGGAUGGCUGUGAAAUACUGAACUGCUCUUCUGUCAUUUGUAAACUGAAAAUGACUAGAAUUUCCAUGACUGUUCUUUUGAGGAUAGAAGUUGGUUACAUAUGUGGAAACGUUUUGUGCACUUGAGGUACUCCAGAAAUCUCAAAGGGCUGAAGGAUGCAGCUAAGUGGGAAGGAGGCAUAAUUCAUGCCAACGUCAAGCAGGCUCAGUCAGCCUCUCUGUAUGGCAUAUCCAUUUCCUCCCCACAGCUAGAUGAUUCCUAUUUUCCAGUUUACAGAUGAGCCUAAAUGGUUCCCUUCUCUUCCUGUGUUCUCCUGUUACAUUUUCUUUGUCUUGGCACGCGUUCACGGUGAAAUUACGAUAAAGAUGAGGGAGAUAACAGGUAGCACAAUGGAAUCGAACAGCCAAGUAGAAUUGGCAGGCAGAAAACAUAAUGACCACCAAGUCCAGGGUGUCCCAUUUUUCCAAAGAUUGGGGCCUCUCUCUUUACCAUCAGAAUAUUUUUAAAAUCACCUCAUAUGUUACUAAAAAAGAAAUAAGUAUCAAAUGCUUAAAAUACUCAAAUUUCUAAAAAUCAGAGAGAAAAAAGUACUUUAAGAAGAUAUGAUUUAAUCUUUAUAUAAUCUUAAGAUGAGAAAGGACUUUAUAAACAAGGGCAUUUUUUUUUUAUUAUUUUAGAAUCAGCAGGUACAUGUGCAGGUUUCGUAUAUGGGUCUAUUGCCUGAUGCUGAAAUUUGGGCUUCUAAUGACCCUGUGACUCAAGUAGUGACCAUAAUACCAGAUAGGAACGUUUUUAUCCAGCUCAAAGUGUCAAUAGUAUUGAGAUCAAAAUACCCUGUUGUAAAUGAAUGUUUUCUAAAGUGCCAAAUAUACAAAAACAAAGGGCUGGAUAGAUAUAUUAUGUUUCUUAUACAUAAUGGACCAUUUUGCAACAAUUAACAUGUUAAAGAAAUUCAUCUAUUUAUAUAGAAAGCUUUUCACAGCAUAUUUGUUUUAAAAAGCCACUUACAAAGCUUGUGAUUUCAUUUUUGUUUAACACGGACUUAAUAAAAUGUACCCAGAGCAAGGUGUUUAAGGGAUUGUCUCUGUCUUGCUGUGUGUGAUUGUAGGUAUUAUUUUUAUUUACUUUCAUUGUGCAAUUAACUCUAAUUGCUUCUCUAUUAAGAAAAAUAAUAAUAAAACUAAUGAUGGCAAGUUUUUGAAAAGUCAUGCUAUGGAUUUACGCUUUAGUUAUAAUUUUAGUGUCCAUUGAUUAAGAAAACAUAUGACAAGCAGCUAUUAUCAUUUUAUUAAAUCUUUAAAAUAGCAACUACACACAUUUGAAAUAUGCUAGCAUAUGUAUCUGCCAAGAGGUUAUUAUACUUUCUUGGAUUUGUUAAAAUAAUCGUGGCCACACAUAAGCCUGAGGCACAUACUAUGAGCCAUUGAUUAACCAGGAAGGUGUCUGCAAACGUGAGGCUAUAUUUUAUUUAGUAGCAGUUCAUUCCUUUGGCUUUUCCUGCUCUUGAAAUUGCAAUAAGAUUGUGUCAGAAUGCUGUGUUAAUAUAAUUCUAUCAAUGGCAAGCCACAUUUUUAAAGACUCUUUAAAAUGAAAAAGUGUAAAUAGUAUGGAAUCCACAAUUAACAUGGAAUCCAGUCCUAUUAAAUAAUUUCAUUUUAACUUUCCUCACUUUUUUUUUAUCACAACUGAACUGUAAACUUGAAAGAGGAUUAUGAUAAUGAAAUCAUUUUUCAUCUUUUUUAGAUGUAAUUUUCCCAGAAUUCCUAUUGACUGCCUUUGAAAUAACUUAGUCCAUGAUGUUGACAAAGCUUUUAAAUUUGAAGAAACAUCCUUACUUGUACAUAUUAACAAAAUAGUCGCUCACUGAAAUUAUGCUUUGUAAAAUAUAUAUUUUUAAAUUUCUGGACUCGGUCGUGUAUAUUCAGGAAAUGUAAUUAUCUGUUAAGACCCACAAUCAUUUGUGAGAUGUUUACAUUGUUCUAUGAUAGAUAUAGAUGACAUUAAUUUCAAUAGAUGUUCAUUCAUGCAUUCAUUUUAUUUUUUGUUCAGAAAAUGUUUAAUCUAUCACUGUGUACUGGACACUAAGAAAAUGAUAGUGAACAAAAUAGACAAAGUCUUUGCCCCCAUGGAGAUUAAAUUCCAUUGCAUGCUGGUCUCUGGUCAUAGGAGCUGAAUGUCUAGUUAGAAAGGAGGCAGAUAUGACCAGAAUUAUUUCAGAACAAUAUAGUACCUCCUACAACUUUCACCUGGAAAAUUAAAUAUAAGUAAAACAAGGUAUUUAACAUUUUACUAGGUGGAAUCAAUGAAUGAACCAAUGACUGCCAUAGAACCAUUCCAUUUCAAAGCCAGAAGGCAUCUUUGAGAUUAUUUCAUUUUUUUUCAAUUAUUUGCUUUAAUCCUUGUUUUUUUGUUAGAAUGAAAAAAUGAAGGUCCAGAAAGUCACAAAGCAGGUUUGAGGCAUUGCUGGGAGAAGCCUCCAGCCCCCUAUUGGGGUAAGAGUCAGCUGUUCUCUCUAAAUUGUCUGGAGAGUUUUAUACCCAUUAUACACGCUUACAAAGCAUGCACAAACCAUAGCUGAUCAUUCUGCAGUUAUUCAUAUCAUAGGAAAAUGAUUAGCUGUGGUAUACCCUUAUAUGAGGUAGUGAAAAUAUAUUUUGCCUUACAAUAUAUUGAUUAUAUAUUCACUUCAGGCACUCAUCUACCAUAUAUAACACAAAGUUCACUUGAAUUAUUUGCAUUUUGGAAAAGCAAAAAAAAAAAAAGAAAAAAAGUUGAGAGAGUCCUAGAUGAAAGUAUUCAGGUCCGUCAUGCUUCAGCUGUAUACCUGCUGAGGUUUUUCACAGGCUCAUCAUUGCCUAACACAUUGAGCUUUACCUAGGAAAUAAACUCUUUUUGACUUCUUGUUUGAAUUUCAAAUAAUAAAGGUGAGAUGUGAAAACUAAGGGAUGAAGCCCUCUGGACCCAGGAACAUCUCUGCAGUACAAAGAUUUCAUCCCCUGGACUCAUGGAUUAAGUCUGGAAGGUAGAGAGCAAAGCAUUUUCCAGGAGUUCCCUGCAAAAAUUGUCUCUGUUGAGAUAAACUGGUAGAGGGAAUAGGAUGGCAGAAGUAGUAGUAAUGAGGACAAACUUAACUCUUAAGUCAUUGAUUGUUUGGAUCAAUAAGUAUAUUGAACAAAAUAAUUAACUCCCACUUAGCAAAAUGUCAAAUGGGAAAUAUUGCAGAAACCUGAAAUAGGCUAACAACAAUUAAAGAAUGAGACAGAAAAAAAAAAAAGCAGUCCCAUAUUUCAGAGUGAUCAUGGAAGUUAGACAAUUACACGAAUAUUGCAUGAAUGGGAAAAUGAAAGAGUAAGAAAUAGGGCAGCCAUGACAGUCAUUUAUUUCUCUUCUGGACAACCAGCUUUUUAUCCUGUUGUCUUGGUCAGGUACAACAUAUGUGCCUGUGGACAGAGGAGUGUUUAAAAGGUAGCAUUGAGUUGACAUGAGAGGCAGUCUGUUCUUUCCAUUGCUUCAGCAUUGCUUUCUAAGUAAUCUACCGCAUUAAUUUUUUGAGUAGGUAAUUUCCUUUUUCCUCUCUUUAAAAAUAAUUGUUUAUGGCUGUCUUGGUGCCAAAAAUAUCACAAUCCCAUGUUCAGGAAGGAGAUUGCCAUGAACAGGGACUCUGGACUCCCAAAGAUGUUCUCCUGCCCUGUGUCUGGGCUUCCCAAUUCUUUACAACCUUGAACUUGGAGAAGGUAGGAAACAAAAGAUUUAUUAGUUUCAGCCCAUUGAAUCUCUUCACUUCCAGAACUACACUUUUAUUUAUUUUCCUUUUUUCUUAAAAAUAUUUAAAUGUCAAUCCUAGUUGUAAAUUAUUAUUUAUUUAUUUUUUUGAGACAGGGUCUUACUCUGGUUGUCCAGGUUAGAGUGCAAUAGCACAAUCUCUGCUCACUGCAGCCUCCAUCUCCCGGGCUCAGGUGAUUCUCCUACCUCAGCCUCCCAAGUAGCUGGGACUAUAGGUGUGCACCACCACACCCAGCUAAUUUUUUGUAUUUUUAGUAGAGAUGGGGUUUUGCUGUGUUGCCCAGACUGGGUCUCGAACUCCUGGACUCAAGUGAUCUGCCCACUUUGGCCUCUCAAAGUGUUGGGAUUACAGGUGUGAGCCACCAUGUCAGGCCGAAAAUUGUUUUAAAAGAUGUUUGAAUUGCUUUUUUGAAUAAAAGUGCUUCAUCUUCUUUUGAAAUUGUGGGUUCUCAAUACUAAAACGUCACUAUAUCAAGUUAUCAAUUGCUGUGUAACAAAUAACCCCAAAAAACUUAGCAGCAUCGUGCAACACACGUUCAUUAUCUCACAGUUUCUGUGGGUCAGGAAUCCAGGUAAGGCUGAGUUGAGUCCUCGGCUUCAGGGUCUUAAGGUGUGGACUAGGGCUGUGGCCACCCAAGGUUUGACUGGGAGGGGAUCUGCUUCUAAACUCACAUAGCUGAUGGCAGGAUUCAGUUUUUCACAGGUUGUGGGGAUGAAAGCUGAAGUUCUUCUCUGUUGGCCGGAGACCAUCCUCAAUUCCUUGUCAUGAGAACUCUCCAACAUGGCAGCUUGCUUUGUCAAAGCCAGAAAGAGAAAGUGUCUGCUAGCAAGACGGAAGUUAUAGCCUUUUAUAACCUAACCACAGAAGUAACACCUCUUCACCUUUGCCAGAUUCUGUUGGUUAGAAACACCCUUGUAGGGUGGGGGAAUGCCUGGGAGCAGGAUGAAGGGAUCACUAAGAUCCAUGUUGGAAUUCCACAUAGCACAGCCAUUUUCUUAAUGAGCAGUUCCAGUCUAGGUUUUUAAUUUACUCAGAGUAGAUUUAAGUUUCUGUAUUCAUAUCCCAGCUGGGCUACUUAAUAUUAUUAGCUCUGUGACCUCAGGUGUAUUAUUUAACCUCCCCUAAGCCUCACUUUCUUCAUUUGUAAACAUAAAUCUGUAAAAUGAGGACAAAAGCAAUGCUCUCUCUUAGAGUUGUUCUGAAAGUUAAUUAAAUUAAUUCUUGUGAAACAAUUAGCGUACUGCUGAGAAAAUGAAAUAUUUUCAAUUGUCUAAGUUUUUCAGAAUGCUGAAAGGCUUAUAAACUUGUUUCUAAGUAAUUUUUAAUGUAACAUUUUGGUUGAAACAUAUCUGAAAUGCAUUACCUAGUGUCUUCCUAAACAGUUUAUACUAAUUGAAUUGAGCCUUGGUAAUUUAUGAUCCUCGUGUAAAAUCUAUUGCUUUAUGCUGAUGUACAGUGAUGUACAGUGGCUUUUGAGAUGUUUGAAGUUAUUUCCCUUCUUAAAUGGCCCCAAAUUCCUCUGACUUUUGAGUCCUUGUUUUUAAUUUGUUUUUUCUCUCUUGCUCUAACACUGCUGUCAAGUACAUUUCAUUUGUAUCACUGGGCUACAUCUAGCUACCCUUCCAUCUCCCAAAAUUUUGGUUUCUAAUCUCUUGUGGACUUAAAAUGGAGAGGCAAUAUGUAUAGUGCUUAAAAGCAUAAGAUAAUCCUAGGUGUAAAUCCCAGCCCUUCCCACUUGCCACCUGUGGAUACUACUUAAGUGCUUAACUGAAAGCAUGUAAUCCCCCUGUGCCUCAGUGUAUAUCAUCUAUGAAAUAGGAUGCUGUUUUUAUUUACAGUAAGUUAGAUCUUGCUUAUAUAACGUGUAGUAUACGGUAGACGUGAUAAAGUCAGCUAUUGUUACUUAACAGUUUACAUAAAUAAGUGUGUUAGAAUUUUUGAAAUAUAAGAAGAUACAGGCUGCAAAUUUGGCCCUCUUUUUGGACCAAAGUACGUUGGCAUCUGUAAAAUUUUUGGUGAUUUCUAGGUUAUUGGUCUUUUGUUGAGAGACUACAUUGAAUAUAAUUUGUGGUAAGUCCCAUAGGAAUUCCUUUGAUGAAAGGAAAUCCAUAAUAGCCAUCUCAUAAUACUACAUAGCUUACAUAGAAUGAUUUUCUUUCUCUACAUCAGAGCAUUAUUUUUUAUCUUGGUUUUAUAGGUUUCUAUUCUGAGGAAGGUAUUUGAACUCACUUUUGAGUUGAAAACAAAAUGCAUGAUGUUCAAUUUGAUCCUUAUUAAUAACAAUUAUAAACUGUAUUGGGCAGAGUUAUCCAGAGAGAAAGAACCAAUAAAAAACAUAUAGAUAGAGCUAUAUGAGAGGGGAUUUAUUAUGGGAAUAGGCUCCUGCAAUUAUGGUGGCUAGUCCCACAAUAUGCUGUCUGCAAGCUGCAGAGCCAGGAGCACUGGUGAUGUAAUUUAGUCUAAGUCAAAGGCCUGAGAACCAGGGGAGCAGAUGGCAUAACUUUUAGUCUAAGGCUGAAUGGAGGCCUGAGAACUUAGAGGACUGCUGGUGUAAGCCCCAGAGCCUGAAGGCUCUACAGUUUGGAGUUCUAAUAUCCAAGGGCAGGAGAAGAGGUGUUCCAGCUCCAGGAGAGAAAUAAAGCAAAUUCACCUUUCAUCUGCCUUUCUGUUCUAUUUGGGUCCUCAGUGGAUUGGAGGGUACCCAUUUACAUUGGGAAAGAGUGGAUCUUCCUUACUCACUUCAUUGAUUAAAAUGCGCAUCUCUUCCAGAAACCCUCUCACAGACAGACUCAAAAAAUCUUUACUGGCUAUCUGGGUAUCUCCUAGUCCAGUUAAGUUGACACCUAAAAUUACCUAUCACAUAAACCAAAGAGUGAGUAUCAAUAGGUUGUUGGAAAGUGUUUCAUAAAAUGGAGACUGACCUCAUAUUUCCGGUUCCAUAGAUCAGAAGCAGGACAACAUGAUGUGAAUGGAGAACAUUUCCUGUAUUUUGACCACAAGAUACUAUUACUAUUUGAAUAUAUAUCAAUUAGGUUAAAUGAAAAUGUGAGUAUAGAGAGAUGUGUUUUCUCAUCAUUUUCUCAAACUGAGAUGAGUGUCACCUUUUGGCUAAGAGAUAAGCAUUGUAGAAGUGAACAUUAUAAGCAGACAGGUGUAAAGAAGUAAGAAGGGAAAAGGAAAUGAGGAAGAGUACAGAGGCCUCUAGGAUCCAUAAAGGUUAGAGUAUGUGCCUGUGAUGCAGAGGGAUAGAAGUUAGUACCUCAGAAACUCCGAGGGGGGCUUAAGAACAGGAGCAUCAGCCGUGAAGUCAGACCAGUUAGUUUCAAAUCCCAGCUUUUUCACUUAUUAAAUGCAUGGGCUUGGACAAGUAAUUGACCAUCCCUGCAUUUUAGUUUCCCCAUCUGUGAUGAAGGCCACUAUAGUAUUCACCCCACAGGGUACUGGGAGCACUGAAAUAGAAACUGGGAAAAUUACUCUUAGUUAGCAGAAUGCUGGGCAUAUUGUAAAUUAUCUGUGUAUUUUGCUGCCUUACCAUAAUCUAGAGCAGAAGUUUACAAGCUUCUCCUCUAAAGGGCCAGAUUGUAAAUAUUUUAGUCUUUGGAAGCCAAGAGGCAAAUUGCAAAUAUUAUGUAUCUCCUUACAUAAUAACAGAUAAGAUGAAUUUCUACAAAAUUUUUAUUGAUGAAAUUCAAAAUAUAAUAAUGUAAUUGAAUAAAAUUAUUGUAUUAUAGAUCCACUAAUGAGAAGAAUAGAAUUCUUUUGAAGAGGAGAUGACAUUUCCCUUAAAUGGGAUUCAAAGUUACUGUUUUCUAACACCAAUUUUUCCAAAAAUGUUCAUCUGUAAAAACCCUUCUUGGUGCACAGGUGAGCUAUAUACGAACAGGCAGUGGCAGCUCGAUUUGACCUGAGAGCUAUGAUUUGCUGUCUCCAGAACAGUGGUUCUCAAUUUUUCCUUUAUGAUCUUGGUACUGAGACAUACAUGAGUGAACAUUGAUGACAUUCACAAAUGUUAUGCACUCCCAAGGCCAUACCAAGAUUUACCCAAUCCCCAGCACAGUAGCUGCAACCACACACUUUUGUCUGACAGAAAAGAACAAGCACAUCAAGCAGAGACUUUAGUGUUAUAAUUAAUGUAGUAACAAAUGCCCAAGAUGUGCAUCACAACUGAUCAUACCUAGCCAGUGUGUUAUGACACCAGGUUCUCUGAAUAUUUCUACUAUUCAGAACAAGUCCUCCCAUUCACAACCUAAAGUGGCAAUUCAUAUCUGCAAGAAACUUUCAAAAGAAGGAGGUUGUAUUGUAGUGCAAGCAAAGGGAGAUUCUUUUUUCUCUUUCAUGUGCGGGGAAUGAUAAAAUAGAGAGCUGAGCUCUAGGGUAAGUGGCACCGUGCUUCCUCCCACCAACAAUAAUGCCCAAUUAUGUACCAAUUGAUGGCUCUUUCCUGAGUUCCAGGAGUGUGAAUCCAUCCAUCUGCUGGGAAUCUCUGCCUGGAUCACCUUCGGGUAUCUCAAACUUACACUGUAGUACUGAACUCAUCAUCAAGCCCCACCCCCAAUAGAUCUUAUAUCUGUACCUUGCUCUCCAACCCUACUCUCAUUUCCUCAUCCAGCCUCUCUCACACGACCAUGCUUACAGUGUACAGUGGCUUCCUGGUUUCAGAUAAAUCAAGGUUCGUUCCCAUGGUCUUUGGGACCUGAACCAACACUCCAGCUUCAUCUAUAUCUGUCUGUCUGUCUGUCUGUCUGUCUAUCUACCUAACAGCAUCAUAGAAUUGCCUGGUAUUCUCUGCAAACACCAUAUUGUUUCUUAGCUGCUUCUUUGUUCCUGCUGUCCCCUUUGCAGAUAAUCCUCCCAGUCCCCAAAUACAGAAUGUCUUACAUCUACCUCCCAGCCUUCCAUGAAACUUCUUUUCCCUCAUCCCAAAGGCAGAGUUUGGGUCUACUCCUCUGUAUUCCCAGUAUGUCUUAAGCAUGAGUUAUACCCACUAUAUUGAAUGUAGUAGUGCUUUGGUAUCUCUGUCUUCCCACCUGCACACUGAGAAACUUGAGAACUAAGAGUAUGUCUUCAUUUUUGUAUCCCUAGACAGGGAUUCUUAUAUAAAGAAAGCACCUAGUUAAGGUUUACUGAUUUAAUUAGCUCUACAGAACUGGCUUGCGGCCACUGUGUUUAUCUGAGCUUUAUCACCACGAGGCAGAGGGAGUGAGUAUAAGUGAGUAGCCAGGAGCCAGAUCUAAUAUUUGAAAGGCUGCUUUGGAGAUUUCAUUUCCAUUGUCAUGUACAAGUUCAUGAUUGUUUUGAAAUAAAACUUGUUAGGAUUUUAAACUUGACUUUCAUUAUCUCUGGUAUAUUCUUCUUUAAAACAUAUUUGCUCUUCCCAAAUAGAAAGAGUAAUUCAUGACUUUCCUAUCUACUUAUUUUGUCUCAGAUUUGAUUUUGAUUUUUCCCUGUCUUCACAAAACCGAAGAAAGAAUAGGGAGAAUAACUGAAGCUUUCUAAUCAUUAGACUCUAAUAAAGAAACUCGAUACACUGUAAACCCACCACUACAUUCUACCGUGACGAGCAGAACAACCUGAGAAGAAUACAGUUUUUUACUCUAAGCAGCCUUGGUUUUCCUUGUCACACCACUAGUAAACAACUCUGUUUUAAAAAUCUAUAAUUUUCUUUUUUUUCUGUUUUUCUUCAACUUUUAUUUUAAGUUCCGGGGUACCUGUGCAGGAUGUGUAGGUUUGUUAUAUAGGUAAACAUGUGCUAUGGUGAUUUGCUUAAGAUCAACCCUUAAGCUAGUUAUUCAGCCCAGCAGCCAUUAGCUAUUCUUCCUGAUGCUCUCCCUUCUCCCGUACUGCCCCUGACAGCUCCCAAUGUGUGUUGUCACACCCCCAUGUGUCCUCAUUGUUCAGCUGUCACUUGUGAGAAUAUGUGAUUAAAAAAAUCUAUAAUUUUCAUUCAAAAGACUGCCUUAAGCAUCUAUGAAAGUUUAACACAAUUUUACCUUAAGGUUCACAUCCACAGCACAUCACAGAAUCAAAAUUAAGACUGGGCUCAGAUUUGCUAAUCUGAAGAUUGUGUCUGUCUCCAGGAGGCAUAGUCUUUCCAGUGUGAGGAAGGCUACAGCUCAGUGGAACUGCCUUCCCAAGACCCAGAAUCACCAUGGGUACUUAGUUUGUACAUCUUGAUUGUAAAUGCCCAGGGCUACUCUAGAGGUAAGGAAAAGUGGAGACAAUAAAACCAGCAAACAUACAUGGAAAGACAGGAUGAAACAUUUAGAGGUUCACUAUAGCAAAAUAAAAAUGUAAACAAUUUCCUGGAGAACUUAUGUUUUUAUUCCUUAUUUCACGCCUUUGCUAACUAAUUUGCUAUUAUUUUUGACAAUCUUUCAUUAGUAAUAUGUAUAAUAAUUAGACUCCAAUAUCAUGAAGCUUGGAAGAUAAAUAUUUGAUGACAAAAACAAAUGCCCUUUGCAAAGCAUACACACAGAUUAUAUUUAAGUAAACUUCACGAUGGUUCAUAAAAUGUCUUUAGAACCUAAAACAUGAGGCAUGGGUGUGCAAUACGGUAAGAAAUUUCUUAAUGAUCAUAUAUUUUUAAUACUUUUUGUUAUAUUUGCUUCAAGAAAAAUUUACUACUUUUGUCAUGUAGUAAAUUUGUCACGAUUUUCUCUCUUCAACUUCAUAAUAAUAGUAUUUGAAAUAUACAAUACAUCUCACUGCUUUGGUUAACAAGUCCACAGUUUAGUGUCAGCAGUAGGAAUGGUUGUUUGUUUUUACACUGAUGUAGAGGGAAAUGAAUAAGUUUAAGUGAUGUUGUUUUUUUCCCAUGUGUUUGGAUAUCCUACUACUUUACAGGUAGAGUGAAUUCUAAAGGCAGGUAGAUACCUAUCAUUUGCCUAAAUAGUAACAUUGCCGGCUGGGCACAGUGACUCACACCUGUAAUCCCAGCACUUUGGGAGGCCGAGGCGGGUGGAUCAUGAGAUCAGGAGAUCGAGACCAUCCUGGCUAACACGGUGAAACCCAGUCCCUACUGAAAAUACAAAAAAUUAGCAUGGCGUGGUGGCAGGCGCUUGUUGUCCCAGCUACUCGGGAGGCUGAGACAGGGGAAUCGCUUGAACCUGGAAGGUGGAGGUCGCAGUGAGCCAAGAUCAUGCCACUGCACUCCAGCCUGGGCGACAGAGCGAGACUGUCUCAAAAAAAACAAAACAAAACAAAACAAAAAAAAACAAUGUAACACUGCCGCUGAUUUACAAACAGCCUUUAAAAUAGAAAUUUACUACAGAACCACCAGUGGGAAGAAAAGAAGGUUAUUGAAGUUUGAGUGCGGGUGAACUGCCUUCUUCUGAGAUGGGGCUCGUCAUGAUAGUAUACACAGAGCGUGGUCCACUCAUGGUGUGGUGUGUUUCUCCACUAGUGCUGGCCCAGCCAGGGCUCCACUCAGCCCUGCCUCUCUGUGCACAGAGGCCACAAUGCUGUGCAGGCAACAGCUGGGGGAUUUGCUAUGGACUACACAGUAGAGAUGGAGAUAUACAUCAAAGUCUAGAAAUGUGGACGUUUUGAUUCACUUGACUUCCCUUUCAGGGCACUCAGGGCUCAAUUUAUCAAAACAACAAACAGUAAUUGAGUCAAUAAGACGUAUGCUGUAGGGAAAUGUUCCCAGGUAUUGAUCCAAAAUAUUGGCAUGAUAUUUACAUCUGUUUGCCAAAGUCAUACAUCAUCCUAAUUCCAGGAACAGGCAGGCAGCAGGGCAUAGAGGCCCAGAGGCUGCUUGGAGAUCCCUCACUGCAUUGUCUGCUGUCUUCCCACAUGGCCUUUGGCACACGGCUGCCCCUGCCACCAGCUGCCUCCUUCCGGGGGAGUGCGAGAAGACUGCAGUUCCAGGAACUGCCCAGUAUUCUGCAUUGGAAUCCUCUAAUAAGUAAUGCCGUAUCAAUGUAGCUAAUUAUCAUUAUUUGAGCAUACAACUUGAGUGCGUCCAUCUGGAACAUUCAAAAUUGACCCUCUAUGGUAUGAUGAAUGUGUGUGUUGUGGGCAGGAAAAUCCUCCAUAGGAGAAAUUUAGCAUUACCCAGGAUGAGAUGCAGAAAUCCUUCACUAAUCCAUGCGCUACUCAUCUGAAGCUUUAUUUUCUAGACUUUCUCUUCUGAAAUGUACAUUUAGUCUCCAUGCAAAUGACUGUUAAAGCAAAUCAGCAAGAGCAAAUCAACAAUAUAAUCCUCCUGGCACCACAUGGUAAUGUAAUUUUUCAAUUCAAAAUGCACAGGCAAAAUACUAAAGUAAAUGGCUCUGUGGUAACUAUAUCAAAAUAAGAAAAAUGUUUAACUUUAAAAAUAUGCCAUAUCUAGACUGAAGGAGGUGAAGGAGAUAUGAUAAAUAAAUUCAGUAGGAUCCUGGAUGGGUUUCUGGACACGAAAAAAAACAUUAGUGAGCAGUUGGUUAAAUUUGAAUAAAGAUUUGUAGAUGUAUUAAUAAUACCAUAUCAGUGUUAUUUUCCCAGUUUUGAGAAUCUUACUAUCAUCAUAUAAUAUUUUAACAUUUAAUUAAGCAGGCUGAAGGGUAUGCGAGACCCGAUUGUGCCACCAUUGAAACUUUUUUUGUAAAUCUGGAGUUAUCUCAAAGUAGAGAUAAGAAUAUUUCAUGAAUCACAUUUUUUACUGCCUUACUUAUCUUCUGGUAGGUCAGUUUAGAGAAUUUUUACUAUAGUAUUGACUUUUGAUUAUAAUUUAAUGAUCCAUAUGGAAUCACAGACUAUUAAAGCCAGAUGGAUUUGCUCUGUUAAUUAACGGAGGGAGGAAGAAGAAAGGAAUAUUUAGCGAUUAAGUCACUAGGUGCCAGGCUGCAGCCAACUCUUUUAGUUGUGUCCUGGUAUCCACUUGCCUGUUGUUUCUUGCCAUGCAAACCCUGAUUUUCUGUAGGACCCCAAUGUGCCCAGCCUGGGUGAUGGAUCAUCCUGGUCUCUGAUUUUCCACUUGCCCUUGCAGCUGGGGAGGGCCAUGUCAGUCAGUUCUUGCCAACAAGAUAAAAUGAGAGGAUGCAAAAAGUAUUUCUAGAGAAACUUUGCUUUCCUGAUAAAAGGGACAAAUGCAUCUGCUGCCUCCCUAUCCACCCAUUUUUACCCACCUUGAAUACAGCUAUGGUGAGUGGAAUUCUGGCAGCCAACUUACGACCAUGAGGCAGAGCCCAAGAAAGCUGCAGAGAUGCCAGUGGCGAGGCAAUAAACGAACCAGUAGCUACUACCUCCAGACUUUUUCAUAUGAGAUGAAUUUAAACGCUUACUAGUUUAAGCCUAUGUUACGUCUUUUGUUACUUGAAGCCAAAAACAUUUCCCGUUGUUUAUCCAAGAAUUUUACAUGAACCAUUUCAUAUUAUUCUUAUAGGUAUAAUUAUCAUUGUCCUAUUAUAGAGAUUGGGAGGUUGAGGCUUAAGGAGAUUAAUUCACUUCCCCACCAUCAUACAGGAAUGAGUGGGUCUGGUGUUGGAAUCUAAGCAUACCUGGCUCUAAUCCCCUUCCUUUCUCGCUACACCACACAGCCUCUGUUUGAUUAUUUGUACCCAUCAUGAGGCAGGCACAAUGUUAGAUUAGGAAACUUGUGCAGAGUUACCAAGCUUGGGGUUAUAUCAAGACAAGAUUCAGUCUUAUUUUUAUAUAGCUCAGCAAGUUAAGCCUUUUAAUGGAAUUUCCACAUCUCCAAUGCACUUUGCUCAUCCCAUCCUCCUGUUAGAGUUAGAACUAGCUUUCUUCCCUGUUUUGCAGUUAAGCCUUCUCUGCGACAAAAGUUGUGUGACCAGCCUAAGGUCACAGAGUCGGUCAUUGGUGGACCUGAGAAGGGAAGUCAGCUUUUCAGUACCUUUCAAGUCCCUUCUAGUGCAUGGCAUUUGCUUCUGCCUUUUCAUCCCUGUUAGCUUUUCCCUCACCAUACAUCUUAUUAACACUUUCACUCUUCACUUCUCUGAUAAAUGUAGCCUUGCCUGCCUUGAAAUGGAAAUCAAAUGGCUCAAAACAGGGGAAGAACACAGUUCUGAAUAUUUUCAGUGGGACUCUAGUUUUCAUUGUCUUUUUAGUUAGAAAAAUAUUAUCCAGCACACCUUCAUGUGUGAUAUCACUUUAUUCAGUACAAACUUAUUAAGUCUGUGGUGCCAUAAGUAUAUGUAUAGGAAAUCUGAGAUGUAAUCAUCAGUACCUUGAAGUUUAUGUUGAAGCUUGGGAAAGGGAGAGAUAUCAGAAUGUUGUAAAUGGGAUAACCUCUGGCUGGGAAUCAGGAAAUCUGAAUUCCCGGCCAGCUCUGCUUGUAAAAACGCUGGGUGCUACUCAAUGUAGGUCAUUACUGAGGAAGAGUCUGACAUAGUACUAUUCAAAAAUGUUUGCUACCCCUUUGAACCAGACCUUCCCUGGUUCCAAAACCACAGCUAUCUGGACUAAUAGAAGGUCAAAGAUUAACAGAUUUUUUUUUUUUUUUUUUGAGACAGAGUUUCGCUCUUAUUGCUCAGGCUGGAGUGCGAUCUUGGCUCACUGAAACUUCCACCUGCUAGGUUCAAGCAAUUCUCAUGCCUCAGCCUCUCAAGUAGCUGGGAUUACAGGUGUGUGCCACCACACCUGGCUAAUUUUUGUAUUUUUUUAGUAGAGACAAGGUUUCACCAUGUUAAUCAGGCUGGUCUGGAACUCCUGACCUUAAGUGAUCCACCCGCCUGGGCCUCCCAAAGUGCUGGGAUUACAGGCAUGAGCCACCGUGCCCAGAAGGAUUAACUGAUUUUUAAUAAAGAAACUAUAAGUGAUCUAAAAACCUUAAAUAAUUGAUCAACUGUGCACCGAAACAACAGGAAUAUUAUAAGUACACAUGCUCUAAACAGCGAAACACCUAUCUUUCCAGCAACAUCCACUUCCUCUUCUGCUCCACUUAAUGGUGCAGGGUAGUUCAACCUAAGGGAGAUGUCAGGCACAGUUUACAGGUGCUCGCAUCCCUCAUGUUUCUGGAAACUGAACUGUGGAAUACUUGAUGUGACAGCAAGAAAGGUGAAGGCAGCUUAUAAGAUUUCUGAACCAUUGUCCAAAUUCAAUAGAAAUCCUCCUCCCUUGGCUAGAGAACAGACAAAACCCUCUCUUUCCAUGGUACAGAAGACAAAUAGUUAAAGUAAAAGGCUUUAUGUACUCUCAUCACUGAAAGGCAUGAUUGAAAUAGCAAGGCUUUGCAGUCAGAGGUUUUACAGUCAGACCCCCUGGUGCAGCCACAGAAGCUAUGUCAACUUGGGCUAGUUACUUAGAUCUCUAAGUCUAUUAAAAUGGAAAUAAUAAUACCUUCUUCAUGGUGUGAUUGCAAGAAUUAAAAAAAAUGGCAUAGAUUAUAUAGCUCAGUGCCUGGCCAGGCUCAAUAAAUGAUUGGAAUUAGGGAGGGAAGAGCUAAUUUUCACUAAUCUUCUGCUCACUCUCCUCAAAUAUCCUCUAUUAUAUCCCUUUUUAUUUCCACAUUGUUUGUUUCUAUCUAUAGCUUGACAUACAGUCUUUUAGCUCUUCUUAUGUUCUCUGAAGACCUUCAUACUGACUCAGAGCUAUGAAAAUUGUGAGACUUAUUUUUUGAGACAGAGUCUCGCUGUGUCACCCAGGCUGGAGUGCAGUAGUGAGAUUGUGGCUCACUUCAGCUUCAACCUCCUGGGCUCAAGCGAUCCUCCCUCCUGAGCCUCCUGAGCAGCUAGAACCACAGGUUCAUACCACACCUGGCUAAUUUUUUUAAAAGUUUUUGUAGAGGCAAGGUCUUGCUAUGUUGCCCAGGCUGGUUGUUUUAAACUCUGAGGCUCAACUGAUCCUCCUGUCUUGGCCUCCCCAAAUCCUGGGAUCACUGGCCUGAGCCAACAAGCCUGGCUGUGACCCUGCUUUCAAGGUCUACUGUGCCUGACAUAUAAAUAGAAAGGCCCAGUUAAUGUUUUUUAAGUUAAUUUACUUGCAUUACACUCAUUCAAUUCCAAGCAAUCUUACUAAGUUGGGCCUCACUUUAAAUAUUUUAUUUUAAAAACAUUUUCCUGGCCAGGUGUGGUGGCUCAUGCCUGUAAUCCCAGCACUUUGGGAGGCCGAGGCAGGAGGAUUGCUUUAGCCUAGGAGUUCAAGACCAGGCAUGGCAACAUAGCAAAACCCCAUCUCUACUAAUUUUUGUUUUUAAAUAUCUAGGCAUGGUGGUGUGUGCAUAUGGUCCCAGCUACUUGAGGGAGGCUGAGAUGGGAGGAUCACUUGAGCCCAGAAGUUUGAGGCUACAGUGAUUUGUGACUGUGCCACUGUACUCCAGCCUGGGUGACAGACUUUGUUUCAAAAAAAUAUUUUUUCCAAAACUUAUUGAAUUUUUUAAUAAUGAAAGAAAUUAUCAGUGGCCUAGAGUGCAAUCUACAGAAUUCCAUACUGGAUUGCUGCUGUUUAUAAUAUCGUAGAGAGAGGGCAUAUAAAUGAAGUGUGUGGUUGAUAUGGUUCUUUGUAAACUACUCUACUUGGAACAGGGGGAUGAGUGAAAGGAGAAUAUAUUCACUGGAUGCCCCGGUCAACUUAAGCAAAUGAAUAGAAGAAAGAUCUGGAGAGCAUAAAUGUUCACUGUGGUUCCAUGUUUCUAGAUUCCCUUUCCUUCUUUUGCACAUGGAUCCUGUUUGCAUAUAUUUUAUUACAUUUUUUAUUACUGCUGUUGCAAUUACCACAAAUUUAAUGACAAAAAAAAACCCAGAAGCCUCUUUUUUUUACAGAUCUGGAGGUCAGAAGUCUAAAUCAAGGUGUCGGCAGGACUGUUCUCCUGAGGCUUUGAGAGCAGAAUCUGUUUCUUUGAUUUUUUUUUUUUUUUCAGCUUCCAGAGGCUACCUGUAUUCCUUUCGUAAGAUCCUUUUUUCACGUUGUCAUUCGAACUUCUACUACUGACUGACCCUCUUCCUCCCCUCUAACAAAGACUUUUGUGAUUACAUUGGGUCUACCGGGAUAAUCCAAGAUAACUUUCUCCUCUCAAUACACUUUUUUUUUUUUUAUUAUACUUUAAGUUUUAGGGUGCAUGUGCACAACAUGCAGGUUUGUUACAUAUGUAUACAUGUGCCAUGUUGGUGUGCUGCACCCAUUAACUCGUCAUUUAACAUUAGGUAUAUCUCCUAAUGCUAUCCCUCCCCCCUCGCCCCACCCCACAACAGGCCCCGGUGUGUGAUCUUCCCCUUCCUAUGUCCUUUUGUUCUCAUUGUUCAAUUCCCACCUAUGAGUGAGAAAAUGUGGCACAUAUACACCGUGGAAUACUGUGCAGCCAUAAAAAAUGAUGAGUUCAUGUCCUUUGUAGGGACAUGGAUGAAGCUGGAAACCAUCAUUCUCAAUACUCUUAACUUGAGCUACACAUUCCAUUUUACCAGGGAAAGAAGCAUAUUCCCAAGUUUCAGGAAUUCAGACAUAGACAUCUUUGGUUGGGGGGCAGGAGGGCUACCAUACAUGUUGAUGUAGAUGUGGUUUUAUAUUUUAGAUUGUACUGCCUCCCUAUGAGUUUCUGUUUUCCUGGCUGUGGCCUUGGUCGUCAGAAUCUGUUCCCACCUUUGAGAAUCCCACCUUUGAGCUUGGCAUAUUCCCACCAUAAUAUGGACUCCAGAUUUCUGUCCUGUCUUGAUAAAUUGGCCAGUCCAUUGUUUUGCUAAGAGUAUGCCACUUUAAUGAAACCAUAUUAACCUGAUUGAAGAAGAAUCUUGAUAUAAGCUUAAAAUUAAAACAAUAAUAAUAGUUUAAUAAUGGCACAAACUAAUUUCAAAGUAGUUAGAGCGACAGUUUUUCCUUGCCUUUUCUGAUUCUCAAUCUUGAAUUUGAAGGUAAAAGUGGGUGCAUCUUUGGUUGUUGUCCGUGGUCCUGAACUACCCCAGAUACUAAGGUUGUUUCUCUUGACCUCUGAGACACAAGGAACUGCUGUUCAGUUUCUCCGUCUUGUUUAGAAAUUCCAAAGUAGGUGAGAAAAGUGGAUAAGUCUGUGAACAGAGCUUAGUGCCUGAGCAUUAAAUGGAUACAGACUGUUGGAAAGGCAUAGCCCUUGACAGAUCACCAGGUAGAAAACAAAACAUUUCUGACAUGAUUUUUAAAUAAUUGAAACUGUAAAAAUAUUUCACAGUUUACCAUGUUGUAAACAUCAAAUAACUAAGCAGCAUAGGAAAUGUGUGCAUCGAACAAUGCAAAGGAUGUGCAACCAAAACACAAGCAUUGAGCAAGAAAGAUAGGGAAGAUGUAGUAAUAAAAGGAUCAUUAUUAGUUGAAUAGCAGAAAAACAUUUAGAGUUGGGUUUUUUGUUAUUUGCUGGAAAAUACUACCUUAUGUAAUUUAUUAUUGUAUUUUUAUGUCAUACAUUUUUGACAGUUCUGUCAUGUUUUUGGAAGUUAGUGUCACUGUCUACUCCUACCCCACCAUACACACACACACUCACACACACACACACACACACAAAUACCAUCACCACACAUCAUGGGAAGCUGGUGGGGAAUGUGCCAUUUCAUUAAUUUCUCCCCAAGCUUCAUCCCACCCCAUGAAACACAGACCAUACUUUUGAUACCUGCCCUUAUCUUUAGUAUUUAUUAUGCAUUAGCUCUUCAUUUUCUAAGGGAUGGAAUGGAAUGGGAAUUAGGAAUGGAUUUGGGGUAUCAGAUGUCAGUGAUUUACAUAAUCAUGUAGGAAAAACUACAGAUUUCACCAAAACCAGUGAUUACACAUUUUUGUUUCAGCUAAUUCAGAAUUUCAGUGAGGCAUGAGAAUGGAAUAUGGGCCAGGAAUGUCUGCUGCACAUAUUUUUGAUAAUUAAAAACAAGGAUAGCAGUCUUUUUACAUGUUGAUAAGGUUAAUCAAGGCAACCUCAUCGCAUCUGUCAAAAAAUCCUGAUUAUUCUCCUGUACCCCAUUCAUUGUGAAUCUUUGCUUUGAACACAGGGGAGAUUCUGGACCUACAGGUACAACUAUAAUCUGAUUAUGUGUUUUUCUGCUUGAAAAGACUAGGUUUUUAACAGUAAGGCUUAAGACAAAUUUCAGUUUUUAUUAAUUCUCAAGAUUAAGAACAGAUAGUGGCAACAUGUCAUGAGUUUCAUUAAUGCAAAAUGGGAACCAAAGUUUUGUUCUUAUUUUUAAAAAUAAUAGUGAUAAUAAUAAUAUAACUAGGCAGUAAAUAAAUAAAAAAUCUGAAUCCAGAGCCCUUUGUUAAGUAAAACAUUACAGAAAGAAAUCAGGGUAGGUGCCCGCCAACAUUCGGAUUAAUAAAUUGUGAGUGUACCACUCUUGCAUACGGAAUUAGCAAGAAUUAGCAAUCAUAUAGAUGAGUAUAGUAAGUUUUAACCUAUUUGCUGUUACCCUCCCAAAUCCUGUUUUGCUCGGGGCACACCUCCAUUUUGUAACUAGUUAAUAAAGAAUACUAUAAUUUAAAGUCCAUGUUUCUAUGGUAACAACCAAUUAUAAGUGCAAUCUGAAGAGAUGGAAGGAAGCUGCCAAAACUCUCAAGGAAAAAAAACAUGAUCUGGGUUGGCAACCCACAAGAAAUGUUGCUUGCUGAGGGCUUUUGCCAGCUUCCCCUAGCACUGGCCUGCAAGUUUAUAUCUGAACAAACAUCUUGCACCCAUUUUCUAAGCACUGCAUCUGUAAUACAUUCUAAAAGGAUAAUUGUGUCUGGGCCUCAACAUAUGUGAUGGUGAGGCAGGAAAAAAUUCUCACUUUUUUUGGUAUAAUUUCUCGCAUAUGUUUCUUAUAACUUCAUGGCACCAACAUCAACACUAGAGAGAGAAAAGAACCUUAAGUGGGCUAGCUUUUUUCAGAAGCAUAUUCAUAAGUUUUACCUUAAAUAUUCUUAUGUUCAUUGUUUAUACAUAAUAAUGGAUAAUGGUAACAUUUAUGGAGAUAAUAAUUAUAGAACUUAAAUAAAAUGUUAGCCAUCAAUUGAGAGUUUUAAUGUUUAACAUAUGUAUACCUGAUUACAUAUAUAUUUUAAUAUAACACUCUGAUUACAUAUAUAUUUUAAUAUCUUCUCCUUAAUCCCUCUGUAUAUUAUUGUGCUUUGUUUUCAGGAAGCUCAAUAUGCACACAUAAGGCACUUUCAAAAUAGAUGAAUUAAAUUGAAGAUAAUUCAUGUUAAAAUAUAUUUCACAUUCAUUAUUCCAUGCAUCUUAUUAACAACCUAGGGAGAGAGGAUGUUUUCAUUUCUAUUUUACAUAUAAAAAAGCUGAGAAAUGGAAAAGUUAAGGACUUACUGAAAGUCACACUUUGUUAGUGGUGGAACUAGGGGCAAACCCCCACCUUGGACCUCUAGAUCUAGGAUUGUUUUCACUCUACAAUAUGACUCCUCCACUAGCUCAAAAUUAAAUACACCUGGAUAUCAAGCUUUAUUAUAUCAAAUAAUGUAGCAUUUGAAUCUUAACUCCAAAGUGUUUAUGCUUGAAACUAAUCAAUUGAUAAUACAUGGAUAACGUAUUCCCUAUCAUCUACCUGUGUCUUUCUCUUAUUUGUAGUUAAGUGACUGGAAGGCAAAAGAGUGAAAUUGACAAUGAUGGAAAUCACAUUUAAUUAGCAUGAAAUGGUAAACAGCUGCUAUGUUCAAAUCUUCCUGUUAUGAGAUUGUCAGACUUAUAAAAUAUUAUCUGCAUGGCGCAGUUUUGAACAGUGAAAGAGAAGUUGAAUCAAAAUGUAAAAGCUCAGUGCAUAGAACUUUUGGGUCCUAGGAGACACACAAGAAUUUCCCUUUUAAGGAAAUUGGCUACGUAUGGUUUGCAAACCCCUAUUCUGGUUAAAAAAAAAAAAAAAAAAAGUAAAUUCCAGUUCCAAGGUUGAAUAACUUUUUUCGUAGAUUGGAAUGGUACUCAUUUGAGCAGAAAGCACUACUAUUACAUGUAAUCUAGGACAAUACUAAUUUAUCUUCUCUAUGGCCAUGUUGAGGAAAGUGGAAAACAAAUCACACAGUCCCACGCUCCACAUGAACGCCAGCAAUCAACUAAACAUAAUAAACCUGCAAGAGAAUAUUUUUAUAUUAUCAAAUUUGUUUAUUUCCCAAAAUAUGUAUUUUGGAAAAAGGUAUGUAUUUUGGUUACCUAUAUUCAAAAUUAGUCAGAAUUCAUAAGAGCUAUCAACAAAUAACUUAAGCACAUUUCCUCUAUUUUAUACCUCAUUAAUGGGAAGACAUCAUGGUAUAAAGUAAAUUUGUGGGUAUCUAAGAUGCUCAGAAAAUGUAUACUUUCUCUAUAAUAAGGUAUCAUCAAAGGCUGUUUCUAGUUAAAGUCCUGUUGCAUUUUGAACUCCCCCUUUCAAAUAUUUUUCACUUUCUUUAAAUCCCCAACUUUGUUCCUAUCUAAAGAUAUGACUCCAUCUCUUAUUUUACUGAGAGAAUGGACUUCAUCCUUUCUAUCUCAAAUUUCCUGCUUCUCAGCAUCUCUGGCUUGGGGCCUUCGUUCUCUUCAUUUGUGGUACCAUAGUUCUCAACUCUGGGUGCACAAUUAAAUAAAAACCUGGAGAGCUUUGAAAACAAAUACUGUUGCCUAGGCACCCUCUAGACUGAUUAGUUAAGAAUAUGGUUUGAGAACCACUGACCUGAUCUUUUCCCCUAAAAGAAAUGUCCCUUAUACCUGUCAAAUCCAGUUAUUCACCUGUGGUCAAAGUCCUAAGUGAGAAGGCAUUGAUUCACCACUUUUUCUCAUCUCCAUCAUUUUUCUUUUCCACUUUUUCUUAUGCUACCAAGCAGCUCAUUUCAUCACAUCCUCAAAAAUUAGUCCAAGAAAGAUCUUUAAAGGGAGAGAGAAUCCCCCUUCAUAGAACACAGGUAGUUGCCAAUGCUCUCGCAAGCUUUCUUAUCCAGUUGUAAUGGCUUAACAAAGCCAUACUUCCAGAAGCCAAAUAAAACCAAAGAUGCAUUAGCUGGAAAUAAAAUAUGAUCAUGAAAUUGAUCAUGAAAGGAUAAUCUUGCUAGGGAUAAUGUGUUUAAUAGCAGAGCACUUUCUCUCAAGAUAAAAAACAUGUAGUUUCUUACUACAUUUAUGUGAUAGGAGAUUCACUGUAAGAAAUUAUCUUUAGUCAACUUUGUUGCUUUUCUCUUAGCAAGUGAAUAAAAAACUAAUUUACUGAUAAUUUUCAUUACAGUAGAUGACAUGUAUGCUUAGGAUGGGUAUUUCAUCUUGAGCAGAGUAGACAAGCCAUGCCAUUAAACAUGUAAAAGAGUGGCUUUAAAAAAAGUGGAUCUCAUGGAGGUGGAGAGUUUCAGAAUGGUGGUUGCCAAAGGCUGGGAAGGGAGAUGAGGAAGGAGGGAUGAAGAUAAGUUAGUUAAGGAGCACAAAAAUAGUUAGAUAGAAGGAAAAAGUUCUAGUACUUAAUAGUACGGUAGAAAAUUUAUAGUUAAAUAUAAUUUAUUAUAUAUUUCAAGGUAGCUAGAACAAGAAUUGUAAUGUUCCCAAGAUAAAGAAAAUGUUUGAAGUAAUAACUAUUCCAGCUACCCUAAUUUGAUCAUUACAUAUUGUAUACAUGUAUUGAAAUAUCACAUGUACCCCAAAAUAUGUACAACUGGUGUAUAUAAAUAAAAAUUUUUUAAAAGCUAUAAAAAAAAGAAAUGGAAAAGAGUGGCUUAGCAGCAGUUAUUAUCUUGCCUCAAAGAGUGCCUUUUCACAGUUGUGGUUCAGUUCGCAGUCGUUGGUUUCCAUGCCGUUCUGAGUUCUAAGGAAAAUCAGCCGUGGCCCAUUAAAAAACCCUUCAUAUCACUUUGAUAAAAUUUCAUAUGGAUUAAAAUAAUUUUGAGCAUAUUUUUGGGCAGUUUAAAGUCUUUUAGAUACAGUGAGCAAAUUAAUGGCAAUGUAGUAAGUUUUUGAUUUAUAGCUUUGGCCUAAAAGUCAUCAUGGAAAAUCUAUUUAUUCUGUGGCAGAACUCAAUGAGCAUUUUAUUUCAAAAAGCAAUUUCAUUUUGAAGAUAGAACCACUUACUCUUGGAAUACUUGUUUUUCAGCAAAGAUUUCUGAAAUUUCCAUUUGUCACUCUGCUCUCUCCAAACCUAAUCACCUUUACUUCAUUCCAGAUGUCCGCCUUGUGUUGUCAAAAAUGGAUUUGAAAACUAAUUGCCACAUCAUGUGGGUAUUGAAUAUGUUAAGUGAUUUCUCUUUGGCCAGUCCUCCUUUGAAACAUGAAGGGGCAAAGGAAGUCUGAGUCUACAAAGGGAGCUGAAGGGGAAGGGCAGCAACUGGAUCACAGUUUGCACGGCUGUGUCUGUAUAUUUUUUUCAGUAAGAAAAGAGCAAGAUUAGUGGUAAAUAUCCAGUAUAUAAUCACUCAUUUGAAGUAAAAGGCUAAAAGUUGCCUAUGGCAGCUUGUUUACAUUUACUGAACUGAAGGAAACCAUAUUUGUGUUACUGGAAGGAACCUCAGGUAGCAUCCAGAAAAAAGAAAAGCAAACUAAAAAACCCCACUAUACAUAUAUAUUUUUUUACUUUGCAAGCUGAUCAAACUCCACCAAAUCAGAAUAUGUCAUAAUUUGAAUUGGGAUUGCCCAAAGAUUACUGACUGUGUUUUGGGAGGUGGGAAAAAACAGAAAACAGUUUGUUAGGUAAAUUUGACCCAUAAACCAAUUUCAAGGCUAUUAAGAAUUAGGAAUGGAUUUUAGUGGCUUGACACAGCCAUAUUGUUUAGUCAACAGGCACUUCUAAGAUACGAGCUCAGGGAAUCCUGUGUGCUUAUCAAAGCAAGUGGAGUAAAGGUUCUGGGAACCUCUGGGAAUGGUUGGAAUUCUCUACAGAAAAUUAAGAUGAUGUUUAAAUUCAGCCUUUUCAAAAACUUUACCCUUUACUUAACCUAAAUUAAUGCAGUUUUACUAUUCUGAAGAAUUAAGUAUAGAAAUGUGUGACCUGAGAAUUAGCAUGCAAAUGAACAAACCAGAGCAGGCAUUUAGUCAGAUAUUUGGCCACCACCAAAAGCUGGGUUUGCCUUUGCCAUGCAACACCACACAGCCAGGAAAAUUCUGUUCUUUCUGGUGCAGAAGGCUGUAAAGAGGAGGAGAACUCUGAUUCCAUUUAUCUUGAGAUGCUGAUUGUAAAGUUUGUGAUCUCAUUAUCACUGCCUUAAACUUCUUGGCCAGGCACUAUUUCUAAGAUAUGCUGUGGGUGCAGUUGUGACAGUGAUUCCCAAGGCCCUCUGCUAUCAUCUCUCUCCCAGGUACCACCAUGGUCCAGUUUGAGGAAGAAGACGGAGGACAUGAGAAAGGAUUUGUCCAAUAGAAACUGGAACUUAAGAGUUUACCUGUCAUGCUUGAAUAUAUUAAGAGAUAUUCUACUGCUCUAAAGGAGACUGAAUUUGUGAUAAAUAGAAAAAUAAUCGGAAAAUUGAAGCAAGUGAUAACGAGAGAGAAAUUUUUUAAACGUUCAAAAAGUAAAAAGCAGUCAUGGUACACCACAGUUUUAUUUGUGAAUAAGACUUGCAUGCCAUUGGCUGUUAGUCUAACCAUCCCCACCCCAAGAAAAAAAAAGAUCUAAGUACAUUGGGAGGAUGGGGAAAGGAGAAAUUUGUGUGUGUGUGUGUUUGUGUGUGUGUGUUGAGGGGUGUGUAGUAUAAGAGUAAAACAGUAUAUUCAGUGGUAAGAAGCCAGAGUCAGUGCCUGAUAUUGAGAAACAGAGAAGUACUUUCUGAGCAUGUUCUUUAGAGGUGAAUCAGGAGAUUUCUUUAGAAGAGUUUCAAGUGGCUGCCUCUGGGGAGAAAAGGGAGCAUUCAAGCUUUUGAAGUAUUUGCACCAUACUUUGAUUUUUUUAAUAAAAAAUACUUUAAAUGAGAAACCAAGAAGUGGAAGCAAUAUUGCAUAGCUAGACCUCUCUUUACAAGUAUUGCUAUAAAGGAGAGUGUAAAACUGGGGCAGAUGUUGAAGAGAGCUGAGGAGUUGAGAGAAGACCUUUUCAACUUUUCUGAAAAAAAUAUACUUUAAGUUCUGGGAUACAUGUGCAGAACGUGCAGGUUUUUUACAUAGAUAUACAUGUGCCAUGGUGGUUUGCUGCACCUAUCAACCCGUCAUCUACAUUAGGUAUUUCUCGUAAUGCUAUUCCUCCCCUUGCCACCCACCCACUGACAGGCCCUUGGUGUAUGAUGUUCCUCUCCCUGUGCCCGUAUGUUCUCUUUUUUAAACUCCCACUUAUUAGUGAAAACAUGCGGUGUUUGGUUUUCUGCUCCUGUGUUAGUUUGCUGAGAAUGAGGGUUUCCAGCUUCAUCCAUGUCCCUGCAAAGGACAUGAACUUAUUUUUUUAUGGCUGCAUAGUAUUCCAUGGUGUAUAUGUGCCACAUUUUCUUUAUCCACUCUAACAUUGAUAGGCAUUUGGUUUUUUCCAAGUCUUUGCUAUUGUGAAUAGUGCUGCAAUAAACAUAUGUGUGCGUGUGUCUUUAGAGUAGAAUGAUUUAUAAUCCUUUGGGUCUAUACCCAGUAAUGAGAUUGCUGGGCCAAAUGGUAUUUCUAGUUCCAGAUCCUUGAGGAAUUGCCACACUGUCUUCCACAAUGGUUGAAUUAAUUUACACUCCCACCAACAGUGUAAAAGCGUUCCUAUUUCUCCACAUCCUCUCCAGCAUCUCUUGUUUCUUGACUUUUUAACAGUUGCCAUUCUAACUGGCGUGAGAUGGUAUCUCAUUGUGGUUUUGAUUUGCACUUCUCUAAUGACCAGUGAUGAUGAACGUUUUUUCAUAUGUUUGUUUUCUUAAGAGCAUAGAGACGGUGUUUCUUGGUGACAGGAAGGAAGAGUGGAAGUGGAGCUAUUGAUAAUGCAGGAGUGGCAGAGAAAGAUCCAAGGAGCAACCUUUUUGAGACAGUAAGGAGGGAUGAAAUCCACAGCCCAAGUGAAGGCAUUUUCUCGUGAAAAGUUGAGGAAUAUUUUCUCCAUUUUAAUAGCAGAGGUUGGGAUUGUGGGAGUGGCCAAAGGGUGGGAGAUGUUUGAGGAGAAAGGGCACAAAUAGUAGAAAAGUAAAUCUAGGAAAUGAAUUUUCCUAAAUUUAUUUAGUAGAAUGGCCAGCCAUUUGAGACUUUGACAGUUGCAAUAAUAAAUAUAAAGUGACACCAAACAGCUGUGUGAUUUUCUCCAGCAACACCAACUGGCCAAUGUGCAAGCAGAGAGCAGGUAGGAAGUUGGAGCUAUGAAAUUUGGGGGUUUGACAGGUGAACCCACAGCAGAAGAGAGUAGCAAGGAAGUUGAAGAUUUUUGCAUGAGAACGACUGUGAUGGUGGACAUGGAAGGUAGGUUGGAAAAAGAGGAGCUGAACACAGGUGGUGGAGAAACAGUGAGAAAGUGGCAGGGUGAAGACCUGACAAUAUCAGUAGCAAUGAAGAAUGGGAACCAUGGCACUGUCAUCAUUUCCGGCAAGUGCACUGGGACAGCUAGGAGGGGAGGUAGGGACCUGCAUGGUGCAGUUCCUGGAAAUGAGAAGGUCCUGGGUGUGACACUGAGAGGAGAUGCCUAAGGCAGAGUGGAAGAAAGGGCUGUCGAAGGUGACAUCAAGGUCAGGACACUGGAUAUUGACGUGUUGGAGAAUGAUCAUUGUAAGCCACCCAUGAAUGAGAUAACCAACAUGACAGCAAUGAGGAGGAGAGAGGGUGAUAUAAAUGGUGCAUCAGAGCCUCAAAGGAGUAAGACACUGCAAAAACAAGGAGAAUAGGAGGUCAGAAGGAGUAGCAAGAAAACCAAGGAGGGUACCUAUCAAACCCCAAGCCCUGAGGUUCAGGGGAUACCGAAGAAAAUACAUUGCUCCUGGAGAGGGCUGUAGAGGAAUGAGUGUGCUCAGAGGACAGGUCUCAGUUAAGGCAUAGAGGUGAAGGGAGCAUUCAGAGAAAUGUUAGGGAAGUAAGGAUGGGUGCUGGAUUAUUGAUAUUGAGAGCACCAGAAAGCAUAAUGGGAAGGCUUAGAGAGGAAAAGAAUGGAGUUUUGGGUCAGGAUGUAGACGUAUGGGAAUGGGAAUGAGGGCUAUCACAGAUCUCACAGGAAACUUGAACUUUUGGCAAUGGCCCAGGUAAACUUGGAUGUAGGGCAUGAUGAAUGACUUCUGAGAGUUUCUUAUCAGCAGGUGAGCACUCAGGUCUAGCAUGGUGGCCCCAAUGAAUGAGCUUGGUGAUGUGGCAGUGACUGUUUCCCUGGCAUCCUACAUUGCAGUAGUUCCGGGUGGCCACAUUCUCUGUCUCUCACAGUAGUUAUUAGCGUUGCUUUGGUCAAGAUUACCUUAAAGAGUAUAGCAGUGUAGUGCUUCGUGAACAUGAGAGGAAGGGCUAUCACGACUCUUGUUGGUUACCUGGGGCAAGUCAGGCAACUCUGUGAGUAUCAGAUUCCCCAUUAGAGAAAAAAAAUUGGCCUUGUAGGUCCUCUUCAGGUUUGAAUUUUUGUUAUUGUGACAUUAAAUAUAUGCUGUUAGGUUUGUAGCAUUUUUAAGUGAAGGAUUUGGGCCCAUAUUACAUGGAGAUGUUUAAGGAGAUUGGAUUUAUAAAGAAGCACAUUUGCCGGACUUCCAUUUUUGACAGAUUUAUUAUGUUGAAAUUAAUAAUUUAGAGAAUAUGUAAGAAUAUUGAUAUGGUUUGGAUAUUUGUCCUGCCCAAAUCUCACAUUGAAAUGUAAUCCCCAGUGUUGGAGAUGGGGCCUGGUGGGAGGUGGGUCGGGGGGCAGAUCCCUCAUGGCUUGAUGCUGUCACUUCAUGAGACAGGGGUUGAGUUCUCAAGAGAUCCCAUUGCUUAAAAGUGUGUGGCACCUCCCCACCCCCCUGCUCCUGCUCUCACCAUGUAACAUGCCGGAUCCUGCUUCACCUUCUGCUGUGUGUAAAAGCUCCCUGAGGCCUCCUAGAAGCCGAGCAGAUGCUGACACCAUGCUUGUACAGCCUGCAGAACCAUAAGCCGAUUAAACCUCUUCUUUAUAAAUGACCCAGUCUCAGAUAUUUCUUUAUAGCAGUGCAAUAACAACCUAGCACACACACACACACAAAAUUAGCUUCUGUUUCACUAGCACAAGAUUCUAUAUGUGUGUGUAUGUGUUUAUAUGUCACUGCCAUCAUUUUUAAAGAUAUUCCUUUUCUUUUGUGUCUCCAUUCAUCUGAGGAUUGGGUGUAGCUAUUUUCAUGAAUCAGGUCUAUACUGCAGCCUAGGGCAUGAUGAGCCAAACUUCUGUGUAACUAGCACAAGACUCUGUGCAGUUAUCAGAAUUUCAGAAAAACAGCUUAUGAUUACAAGGUUAAAAAGAAUCACUGCUUGGCCUUCAUAACUUCCCAUUGCCACAUGUGUAGAUGUUGCAUGCUCUGCAUUGCUCUGACCAAACGGCUGUCGAGGCAACACAGGAAGCGAGUGAAGCUGGGAAUGAUCUCCUGCAGCAGGUCUUCAGAAGACCUAUUUUCUCUUGUAGGUUUCAGGGGCAGUUGGUUAAUGUGACCAUGAUACAAAUUCACAUGUGCACACCUACACACAGACACACACACCCCACUGUGGACAUCUCACAAUAUAGGACAGGCUUUCAGCAACAACUGGGUCACCUUUGCAUCCGGUUGGUGGUUAUAAACUCAGACAAGAUACUUUGAAGUGUUUUAUACACAGAAGAAGAAAGCAAUAGUAGGAGAAUGGUGCCUUCGACCUUUCUGUGCUUUCAAGCAUGUAAGCCAAUCACCUCGUUCCUCCAUCCCCAAUUAAAGGAAAAAAAUUAGCCCCAUACAUGGAUGCUUGAAUUCUCCUAAUAUUAAAAGUCACAUGUGUGAUGUAAAUAAGAUGAAAAGCAAUGUGGAUUACCCCAUUAGAAACGGAGAUGAACUAGCAGCUGGUUGCAUGAACGUAUCAAGGAGCCUACUGUCCCAGUGAUAAUUCUUGGAUAAAGCAGAGUUAGGACAUUUUCCAUCAGAUCCUUUUAAGCCCCCUCGCAGUUCAGUUGCAUCUGGCAUGCAUUGUGCCUGUUGUCUGCUCUAACUUUGCAACAGAGUGAAAUCCCCGGCUUUGACUGCAGCAGCAUGUGGCUCUGAGUGGCAUCUGUAAAGCAAUGGCACUUCUUAAUUUUCAUAACAAACAGAAAAUACUUUAUGAAAACAGUAUUCAAAUUGGAAUGGCUCCAUUUAUCUGACUAAUUGGGCUAGACUGUCAUCAUAAAGUGAGUCCUUGAGCAGAAAAAAGCAAUACACAAAAAUGGCUUCUGCUGGUGACCUAAUUUUCUAAAUCAUUUCUUCUGCUAGUGCAAGUGCUACUAAAUAUAUUGGGUCGUCACAAGUUCCACACUCCAGGAUAGGCGUUUCUAGUGGCAGGUGAAUUCUCAAUAAUCAUUGUACGUUUUGAAAUUAAAAUUAGAUGACAUUAGAGAGCAUUGGUGAGGGUGGGGUGUUUCCUCACUCCCUCCCUCCCUCCCUCCCUCCCUCCCUUCCUUCUUUCAUUCCUCCACAGAACAAAAUAAAAGUGAAAUAUUAUAGAACUUGCCAUGAUUGGGAAACCAGUAGGUAGAACUGGAAUUCAAUCUAGGUCUACCACUGCCUGGAUUUCACUUAAGAAAUUUUAGAGUAUCAUUGUUCAUUAUAUUUUUUGAUGUUUUCUAUUUCUUUCAUUGCCUGUUUCCUGGCAGAAAUGCCCUGAGAGUAUUCGAAACCCUGUCAGUCCUUGAUAUACUUGCAGUCCCAACUGCCUGUUCUUUUCUGGGAGGCUCAUUCAAUGUAGAAUAAAGUCAACUGGCAGAAAUGUAAUAGUACACCAGGGAGGGAUUGUGGUUUAACAUGAGUUUGAUAUGGUUAGUAAAAAGUGAAUUAGAAUAGUUUGUAGAUACUUUUAAACCUGUGCUCAAAGGUAUUAUUUGAUUAAAUUUAAUAAAAAAAUUAAUUACUUAGUAUAUAUAAUACAUAAGGAACUUACAGGUACGGGUGGAUGCAAAGAUGGGUAUAAUGAGUGAACGAUGCCUCUUCCUUCCAAAGUUAUGUCCAUAGUCUCAUCACCAGAACGCAUGACUAUGACCUGAUUUGCAAAAAGGUUAUUUACAGAUGAAAUUAAAUAAAGGAUCUCAAAAUGAGAUCAUCUUAGAUUAUCCAAGUGGGCCCUAAAUCCAGUGAUGUGUGUCCUUAUGAGACCCACACAGAGGAGAAACACAUGGAAGAGAAGUCCAUGUGAAGACAGGCAGAGAUCAGAGUGAUGCAGCCACAAAUCAAGGAACAGCCUGGGGCCACCAGCAGCUGGAAGAGGCCAGGAUGGAUUCUUCCCUAGAGCCUUCUCAGGGAGUGCCGCCCCAUCUUGACUCCAGACUUCCGGCCCCCAGAAACUGUGAGAGAGUACAUUUCUGUUGUUUUUAAGGCACCAAGCUCGAUAUAAUUUGUUAUGGCAGCCCUAGAAAAUUAACAAAGUGAGUAAAAAUCAGUCGGCAUUGAAGAGCUUGUAAUAUAUAAUAUGUAACAAACUGCAUGUGCUGAAGUGAAAGUAUUAAAAAUAUAGACACGAAGGGGAAUUAAUUUCAAACAGAGCUGGCUGGAAAGGUGUUUUAAGGAGAUAUGCCUUGAUCAGGGCUUUAAAGAAGAUGAACGCAAGCCGUGCAGAGAUGGGCCAGGAGGAGAUUUCAGGGAGGUCAGCAGAGCCACGACAGAGGAUUCAGGGAUACUAUAGGAGUGAAUCUAGUCCUGAGAAAGGAGAAGGUAUGAUCAAAACAAAGUCUAAUAUCACAAGAAGUUUGACUGGUCAGAAAUGCAGAGAGCCUGAAUUCAGUCAAAUAGAGAGGUACUCUGUUGUUAGCUUUAAAUUAUGGAGAAACUUACUUUUUCCAUCUUCCUCAAUCUAAAAUUACAUUUAAGAGAUAGAUUCCUGAAGAAUUACUGCAAGGAAAGAAAUUAAAUUUAGAGAGGAAAGAAAUAAUUUCAGGAAUGUUCUGAAAACUCUAUAAUGCCUUGGACAUGCCCUGGUUUGUAGUAUUUAACAUGCAGUCAUUCCUAUUUGUGUGACUGUCUUCAUUCCUAGUGGCCUACCUGGGCAGGAAAUGCAUCCUGUCUUAAUUUCCUAGGGCUGCCACAACAUAUUACCAGCAACUGGGUGACUUAUCUUGAUAGAAAUGUAUUUCUCACAGUUCUGGAGGCUGGAGGUCUGAACUAAAAAUGUCAACAGGGCUGUGCUCCCUUUGAAUGCUCUAGAGGAGAUCUCUGCUGCUUCUUGGCUUCUGGUGGCUCCUGGCAAUUCAUGGCGUUCCUUGACUUGCAGACCAUUUACUCCAAUCUCUGUCUCUGUCUGCACGUGGCCUUCUUCCCGGUGUGUCUCUGUGUCCUCUCCUCUUCUUCUUAGAACACCUGUUACUGGAUGGAGGGCCCAACGCAAUGGAGUAUGUCCUCAUCUCAAGCUAACUAAUUAUAUCUGCAAAGACUCUGUUUCCGAAGAAGGUCACAUCCUGAGGCUCUGGGUGGACAUGAAUUUUGGGGGAGCACUAUUCAACCCACCACUUAGCCAGUUUAUGUUUUAACCCAUAGAGCCUAGCCUGGAAUUUGACAUAAAAUUGUAACCUCUCAAUUUUUGCUGAAUACAGAAGCAGAUCUGCAAUGCCCAUGAAUGAUGUGGCACUGCUAAAAAAUAAAACAUGGGAGAGAAAACAACAGAAGAAAA